RNAcentral lists this long non-coding RNA (73911 nucleotides) under Sorghum bicolor (sorghum). RNAcentral's name for it is "long non-coding RNA (SBIC_LNC004900)". The record is from RNAcentral. Lineage: Eukaryota; Viridiplantae; Streptophyta; Magnoliopsida; Poales; Poaceae.
GCGCAGUCCUUGUUUUUGUGCCGACACCUUUUUCUGUUUUGGUGCUGCGUCACCCUAUUUUGGACCAAUGGCCCAUGUAUCAAGUUGAGUCCAUUAGAGACGCGUCCUAGGGUUGGAGAACGACUCUAGCACCCCUUUGGUCAUCCUCCCCUCUAUUUAUUUACAUCUAGAGCCGCCAUGAACAACUGGGUUUUGAUUAGAUAAAGUUUAGCCUUCGCUACUUGCUUGUAAACGCGCGUGCUGAUCCAGCCGCCCGUCUUCUUGUUUUCGAAACCCCACUUCAUUAGAGAUUGAGUUUGAAACCUUCAUUUACAUCUAGUAAUUUAGUACUUAUUCUACUUGUUCUUGCUGGUUCUUCGAUUGCUUGCAGGACGAGUGCCCUAGUGGCCGGGUGUUGCGCUCCACAAGAUCGUGACAGCCAUUGGAGGCGGUGUAUCGGUUGCUAAGGCGCGGCCUUAGAAGGCUGUAGUCGGGCCGUGAACGUCAUCUCUAUUCACUAAUCGAGUUAUCCAGCGCCUCUCAUCGAAAGAUCAGGCGAAAACCCUAGUGGGUUCACAUCAGUUGGUAUCAGAGCAAGGUUUAUCGGUGAGAGAUUUCCAAUUCUUCGUGUUUGUUUUUCCUAUAGUCCAAAAAAAGCCAAAAAAUAUAGCAGAUUUGUUUUCCAUAAUCCUAUAAGUCCUUUGUGCCGUGGCUAGUACUACUUAGUUAGGGCUGGUUGAAUGAGUGUUUGCUUCGGUCGUGUCCAGUGCUGGUUUUAGUUUAGUCCUUUAGAGUUUUGAGUUCUUGUCACCAUCUAGUCACAACUGCGUCCAAUCUAUUGUGGGUUGGAAUUUGAGUAGAUUUUGAUAAUAGGUGCAGCCACUUGUUGGUCUAUUCUGCAUUUCCAUCAACGUGAUUCAAAAAUGAAAGAUAGCACUUCAUACUUGUGCUAGAUAUAUUGAAUUUUGAGGUUCAGCCUUACUCUAGUGAGAGGGUGAGAGUGGUGAAGUGAUAUUUUGUACUAUUUUAUUUAUAUAAUCAGGUUUUGAGGUUCCCCAAAAAAAAGAAAAGAGAAAGAAAAAAAAUAAAAAAAAAGAAAGAAAGAAAGAAAAAAAAUCAAAAAAAGGGGAUUGUUGUUCCUUUUUGUUUCCAGUAGGGCUGCUCAUUUUAUUUCUAGUGGUGUGCUGUGUUUUUCCUUUGUGUCCAGGCUCGCGUCUCUAGCACGGUCUAGGCUAGGACCAACACAGUACCACCGUUGAGCGUUUAUUGAACUUGCUUUUUAUAACUAACGUGGUGCUAGUUCGAUCCUUGUUUCAGCCCACCUAUAGCUCCACAUAUUCUACAGCUUGAUAGGUUUUGUUGCUGCGGCACCGAUACACUUCGUCCAUUGCUGUGGAUUUGUUGGUAGCCAAUCCCUCCUGUUGAGCAAGGUAAGAAUUGGUAAGAACUUGUUAGACAGGUUGAUAGAGAGCGUCUUACAGUAGCCACAUCCUAAUAGCUGUAGGGUUUUUAUUUCUUCACCUAUUUUUCUUGUUUCCACUUUGUGUUUUUUUAAACCAUGUCAGAGACAGAGGAUACCAACAAAAUUCCACAGUCACCUCGCACUAAGGGCAUCAUACAACAUUUUGAAAGGCAAGUGAAGCUACACACAGAGGGACUUGAUGACGACUUGAAGGUGACGAAUGACAAGCUUGGGCAGUUGGAGGACACGCAGAUUGCCACAAACAACAAGAUUACAAAGAUGGAGGCAUCUAUUACUAGUAUGGAUAAAAGUCUUGCUGCUCUUCUCAAACGCUUUGAUGACUUCCACACAAUGGACAAAGAGAAUCAUAAGGAAGAAAACAAGGAGGAAGACCGAGUGGAUGGCAAUUAUGAUGAUGAUUACACUGCUGAUACGGAACGAGAUGAUCAAGACACUCAUCAUCGACGUCGCCUACGUCACACCCGUAGAGGUAUGGGUGGCCACCACCGAUGCGAGGUACACAAUAAUAAUAAUGCUUUCAGUAAGAUUAAAUUUAAAAUACCUCCUUUUGAUGGUAAAUAUGACCCUGAUGCAUACAUUACUUGGGAGAUUGCUGUUGACCAAAAGUUUACAUGUCAUGAAUACCCUGAGGAUACACGUGUUAGGGCUGCUACUAGUGAGUUCACCGAUUUUGCUUCCGUUUGGUGGAUAGAACAUGGCAAGAAAAAUCCUAAUAGCAUACCUAGAACUUGGAAUGCGUUGAAACAAGUCAUGAGGGCUAGAUUUGUUCCUUCUUACUAUGCACGUGACAUGAUUAAUAAGUUGCAGCAAUUGAGACAAGGUGCUAAAAGUGUAGAAGAAUAUUAUCAGGAAUUACAAAUGGGUAUGCUGCGAUGUAAUUUAGAGGAGGAAGAAGAACCUGCUAUGGCUAGAUUUUUGGGCGGGUUAAAUCGUGAAAUCCAGGACAUUCUUGCUUCUAAAGAUUAUACUAACGUAACCCGUUUGUUUCAUCUUGCUUGUAAAGCUGAAAAGGAAGUGCAGGGACGACGUUCACAUGAUUCUUCCACAAAUACAGCAACUAAAUCAGCCCAGAGACCAAUCGCUAGUGCCUCCUCGGUUAAUUCCACAGGAAGAACAAGAGAUGUUCAGUGUCAUCGAUGCAAGGGCUAUGGGCACGUACAGCGAGAUUGUCCAAACAAGCGUGUUUUGGUGGUUAACGCUGAUGGUGGGUAUUCCUCUGCUAGUGAUUUUGAUGACGAUACACGUGCUUUGCUUGCUGCUGAUGAUACAGGUAGGGAUGAAGCAAUAGAAGAGCAGAUAGGUGCAGAGAAUGUAGAGCAUUAUGAGUCUUAUUGUGCAGCGUGUGCUUAGUGCUCAAGCGGAGAAGGUAGAGCAGAAUCAGCGGCAUACAUUGUUCCAAACAAAGUAUGUUAUUAAAGAGCGUUCUUGUCGUUUGAUUAUUGAUGGAGGUAGCCGCAACAACUUGGCUAGCAGCAACAUGGUGGAGAAGCUUGCACUUACCACCAAACCACAUCCACAUCCAUAUCACAUUCGGUGGCUAAACAACAGUGGUAAGGCCAAGGUAACAAAAUUGGUGCGAAUUAAUUUUACUAUUGGUUCAUACCAUGAUGUUGUUGAAUGUGAUGUUGUACCUAUGGAAGCUUGUAAUAUUCUGCUAGGUAGACCAUGGCAAUUUUAUAAGGAAUGUAUACAUUAUGGUAGAUCAAAUCAGUAUUCGUUUAUGCACCAUGAUAUGAAAAUUGUUUUGCUACCUCUGUCUCCCGAAGCUAUCGUACGUGAUGAAGUUGCUAAAAUUACCAAGGCUAAAAUUAAGAACAAUGCAGAUGCCAAUGGAAAUAACAAAGAUGAGAUAAGAUUAAAUGGACAUUGCAUGCUUGCUACUAAAUUUGAUGUUAAUGAACUAAUUGUUUCCACAUCUACUGCUUAUGCUUUGGUAUGUAAGGGUGUUUUGAUUUCAAUUGAAGAUAUGCUGCAUUCUUUGCCCCCUGCUGUUCAUAACAUUUUGCAGGAGUAUGCUGAUGUUUUUCCAAGUGAGAUACCGGCAGGGCUGCCACCUAUACGUGGGAUUGAGCACCAAAUUGAUCUUAUUCCUGGUGCAUCUUUGCCAAACCGCGCGCCAUACAGGACAAAUCUAGAGGAAACAAAAGAGAUCCAGUGGCAAGUGCAAGAACUCCUCGACAAAGGUUAUGGAAUUGAGGUUGAUCAAGCCAAGGUAGAAGCUAUACAGGGAUGGCCUGUACCAAAGACAAUCACCCAUGCGCGGAGUUUCUUAGGACUUGCUGGGUUUUAUCGCCGUUUUAUGAAGGAUUUCAGCACCAUUGCUGCACCAUUGAAUGAGCUUACAAAGAAGGGAGUGCCUUUUGUGUGGAGCAAAGUACAAGAGAAUUCCUUCAACAUGUUAAAAGAUAAGUUAACACAUGCACCUCUCCUACAGCUUCCUGAUUUUAAUAAGACUUUUGAGCUUGAGUGUGAUGCUAGUGGGAUUGGUUUGGGAGGUGUUUUGCUACAAGAGGGUAAACCUGUUGCAUAUUUUAGUGAGAAAUUGAGUGGGCCUGUUCUGAACUAUUCGUAUGCUCUUGUCCGAACUUUAGAAACAUGGCAACAUUAUUUGUGGCCCAAAGAGUUUGUUAUUCAUUCUGAUCAUGAAUCUUUAAAACAUAUUCGUAGUCAAGGAAAACUAAAUCGCAGACAUGCUAAGUGGGUAGAAUUUAUUGAAUCCUUUCCUUAUGUUAUUAAGCACAAGAAAGGGAAGGAGAAUAUCAUUGCUGAUGCUUUGUCAAGGAGAUAUACUUUGCUAAAUCAACUUGAUUACAAGAUUUUUGGAUUAGAAACGAUCAAAGACCAAUAUGUUCAUGAUGCUGAUUUUAAUGAAGUGUUGCUGCGUUGUAAAGAUGGAAAAGGAUGGAUCAAAUUCAUCGUUAGUGAUGGGUUUGUGUUUAGAGCUAACAAGCUAUGCAUUCCAGCUAGCUCUGUUCGUUUGUUGUUGUUACAGAAAGCUCAUGGAGGAGGUUUGAUGGGACAUUUUGGAGCAAAGAAGACGGAGGACAUACUUGCUGAUUUGAAACCAUAUUUGGGUGAGGAACAUGAGCUUGAGUCGAGGACGACUCAAAUCCAAGAAAGGGAGGAUGAUGAGGACAUCAACAUCAUCGAUAUAUCCGCACCUACACCAGUUGGUCCUCUUACUCAUGCUCGUACCCGUCAACUCAACCUUCAAGUAAGUUCAGUUUUAAACUCUUGUCAAUCAUAUUUAGACAAUGGAGACACGUGCACUUUCGUGUUGCUCAGGAAUAAUGGACAAGAUCAGCAAGGGAAGGUUCAACUGCAUUUGGAAUUUGAGCCAACACCAACUUCAAGGGCUGAUUGCAUAUGGGAAGAGUGAUAACUUAACAAAGGUGAUUGGAGAUCAGGUCCAAGCCUCCACAACAUCCUCUAUCAAGUUACCACGUCGCUUCUAAAGCAAGGAAACAAAGAGUCCAAACCCAACAUGUUUUGGGAGUUGGAUUCGGACUGGAAAAUAACUCUAACUUGUAUGGAUCACCACGGCGUCAUAUGGACUCCAACUGGGACGUUCCUAUACUUGUUGGAAAGCUCAUGAAGUCUACUUUCCAAUGGGUCCAACCACAUAUCUAUGCACCUUAUGAGUCGGGCGCAGUCCUUGUUUUUGUGCCGACACCUUUUUCUGUUUUGGUGCUGCGUCACCCUAUUUUGGACCAAUGGCCCAUGUAUCAAGUUGAGUCCAUUAGGGACGCGUCCUACGGUUGGAGGACGACUCUAGCACCCCUUUGGUCGUCCUCCCCUCUAUUUAUUUACAUCUAGAGCCGCCAUGAACAACUGGGUUUUGAUUAGAUAAAGUUUAUCCUUCGCUACUUGCUUGUAAACGCGCGUGCUGAUCCAGCCGCCCGUCUUCUUGUUUUUGAAACCCCACUUCAUUAGAGAUUGAGUUUGAAACCUUCAUUUACAUCUAGUAAUUUAGUACUUGUUCUACUUGUUCUUGCUGGUUCUUCGAUUGCUUGCAGGACGAGUGCCCUAGUGGCCAGGUGUUGCGCUCCACAAGAUCGUGACAGCCAUUGGAGGCGGUGUAUCGGUUGCUAAGGCGCGGCCUUAGAAGGCUGUAGUCGGGCCGUGAACGUCAUCUCCAUUCACUAAUCGAGUUAUCCAGCGCCUCUCAUCGAAAGAUCAGGCGAAAACCCUAGUGGGUUCACAUCAUCUUCCACCGAAACUAACAUUGUCUCCAAACAGACCGAAGCGAGAUUCCAUAUGAUACACGUCAUCUAGGAGUUCCAUUGGGUGCGUCCAAAUUGAUUUCUUAACAUAUUGUACGUUCCAUGCAAACUGUGCAACUAUCUUGCAUCAAGAUUAGCACUAUAUCUGAACAGACCAAAUCGAGCCUCCACUUGAGCCUCUUCAACUACGAGUACCAUCGGGUGCGUCUAAAAUGGUUUCUUAGCCUAUGGUGGAUUAGGCGUAAACCGUGCACAUAUCUUCUACCAAAACUAACUGUCUCUAAACGAACCGAAGCAAGAUUCUAUAUGACACACAUCAUCAAUGAGUUAUAUUAGGUGCGUCCUAAUUGAUUUCUGAGCAUAUCAUAUGUUCCAUGCAAACGUGUAUCUAUCUUGAUGCGAACCCGCUAGGGUUUUUGGCCUGAUCUUUUGAUGAGAGGCGCUGGAUAACUCGAUUAGUGGAUGGAGAUGACGUUCACGGCCCGACUACAGCCCUCAAGACCGCGCCUUAGCAACCGAUACACCACGUCCAACAGCCGUCACGAUCUUGUGGAGCGCGACAACCAGCCCCUAGGGCUCCCGUGCUGCAAGCAAUCGAAGAACUAGCAAGAACGAGGAAACAAGCACUGAAUUUGCAAGAUGAAUUGAAGGUUUCAAACUGAAUCUGAAUCAACAAUGGGGUUCCGAAGACAAGGAGACGGGCGGCUGAUCCUGCACGCGCGCCUACAAGCAAGUAGCGAAGGCUAAACUUGAUCUAAACAAAACCCAGUUGUUCAUGGCGGCUCUAGAUGUAAAUAAAUAGAAGGGAGGACGACCAAAGGGGUGCUAGAGUCGUCCUCCAACCCUAGGACGCGUCCCUAAUGGACUCAACUUGAUACAUGGGCCAUUGGUCCAAAAUAGGGUGACGCAGCACCAAAACAGAAAAAGGUGUCGGCACGAAAACAAGGACUGCGCCCGACUCAUAAGCUGCAUAGAUAUGUGGUUGGACCCAUUGGAAAGUAGACUUCAUGAGCUUUCCAACAAGUAUAGGAACGUCCCAGUUGGAGUCCAUAUGACGCCGUGGUGAUCCAUACAAGUUAGAGUUAUUUUCCAGUCCGAAUCCAACUCCCAAAACGUGUUGGGUUUGGACUCUUUGUUUCCUUGCUUUAGAAACGACGUGGUAACUUGACAGAGAAUGUUGUGGAGGCUUGGACCUGAUCUCCAAUCACCUUUGUUAAGUUAUCACUCUUCCCAUAUGCAAUCAGCCCUUGAAGUUGGUGUUGCCUCAAAUUCUGAAUGCAGUUGAACCUUCCCUUGCUGAUCUUGUCCAUUAUUCCUGAGCAACACCAAAGUGCACGUGUCUCCAUUGUCUAAAUAUGAUUGACAAGAGUUUAAAGCUGAACUUACUUGAAGGUUGAGUUGACGGGCACGAGCACGAGUAAGAGGACCAGCUAUAGGUUGUGUCGGAGACGAUGUAGGAUAUGUAUCGCUGGUGGAUGUAGGAUAUGUAUCGCUGGUGGAUGUAGGAUAUGUAUCGCUAGUGUUGAUGUCCUCAUCAUAUCUUACAUCAAGAUUAGCACUAUCUCCAAACAGACCAAACCGAGCUUUCUCUUGAGCCCCUUGACCUAGGAGUACCAUCGGGUGCGUCCAAAAUGAUUUCUUAUCCUAUGGUUCAUUAGGUGCAAACCAUGCACCUAACUUGCACCGAAACUAACACUAUCUCUAAACGGACCGAGGUGAGAUUCCAUAUGACACAUGUCAUCUAGGACUUCCUUAUGGUGCGUCCAAAUUGAUUUCUGAGCAUAUGGUAUGUUCCAUGCAAACUGUGCACCUAUCUUGCAUCAAGAUUAGCACUAUCUCCAUACAGACCGAACCGAACAUCCACUUGAGCCCCUUCACCUAGGAUUACCAACAAGUGCGUCCAAAAUGGUUUCUUAGACUAUGGUGCAUUAGGCGCAAACCAUGCACAUAUCUUGCACCGAAACUAACACUGUUUGUAAACAGACCAAAGCGAGAUUCCAUAUGACACACAUCAUCAAGGAGUUAUAUAAGGUGUGUCCUAAUUGAUUUCUAAGCAUAUCGUAUGUUCCAUGCAAACCGUGUAUCUAUCUUGCAUCAAGAUAAGCACUAUCUCCAAAUAGACCAAACCAAGCCUUGACUUAAGCCCCUUGACCUAGGAGUACCAUCGCGUGCGUCCAAAAUGGUUUCUUGUCCUAUGGUGCAUUAGGUGCAAACCGUGCACCUAUCUUGCACCGAAACUAACACUGUCUCUAAACGGACCGAGGUGAGAUUCCAUAUGACACACGUCAUCUAGGAGUUCCAUCUGGUGCGUCCAAAUUGAUUUCUGAGCAUAUGGUAUGUUCCAAGCAAACCGUGCACCUAUCUUGCAUCAAGAUUAGGACUAUCUCUAAAUAGACCGAACCGAGCCUCCACUUGAGCCUCUAAAUAGAACGAACCGAGCCUCCACUUGAGCCUCUUCACCUAGGUGUACCAAUAGGUGCUUCCAAAAUGGUUUCUUAGACUUUAGUGCAUUAGGCGCAAACCAUGCACAUAUCUUGCACCAAAACUAAUACUGUCUCUAAGCACACCAAAGCGAGAUUCCAUAUGACACAUGUCAUCAAGGAGUUCUAUCGGGUGUGUCCAAAUUAAUUUCUAAGCAUAUGGUACGUUCCAUGCAGACCAUGCAUCUAUCUUGAAUCAAGAUUAGCACUAUCUCCAAAUAGACCAAACCGAGCUUGCACUUGAGCCUUUUACUUAGGAGUACCAUCAGGUGCGUCCAAAAUGGUUUCUUAUCCUAUGGUGCAUUAGGUACAAACCGUGCACCUAUCUUGCACCGAAACUAACACUAUCUCUAAACGGACCGAAGUGAGAUUCCAUAUGACACAUGUCAUCUAGUAGUUCCAUCUGGUGCGUCCAAAUUGAUUUCUGAGCAUAUGGUAUGUUCCAUGCAAAUCGUGCACCUAUCUUGCAUCAAGAUUAGCACUGUCUCUAAAAAGGCUAAACCAAGCCUCCACUUGAGCCUCUUCACCUAGGAGUACCAACAUGUGCUUCCAAAAUGGUUUCUUAGACUUUGGUGCAUUAGGCGCAAACCAUGCACAUAUCUUGGACUGAAACUAAGCUAUCUCUAAGCACACCAAAGCAAGAUUCCAUAUGACACACGUCAUCAAGGUGUUCUAUCGGGUGUGUCCAAAUUAAUUUCUAAGCAUAUGGUAUGUUCUAUGCAAACCAAGCAUCUAUCUUGCAUCAAGAUUAGCACUAUCUCCAAAUAGACCAAACCGAGCUUUCACUUGAGCCUUUUACCUAGGAGUACCAUCGGGUGCGUCCAAAAUGAUUUCUUAGCCUAUGCUGCAUUAUGUGGAAAUCUUGCACCUAUCUUGCACCAAAACUAACACUAUCUCCAAAUAGACCGAAGCAAGAUUUCUUAUGACACACGUCAUCUAGGAGUUCCAUCAUGUGCGUCCAGAUUGAUCUCCAAGCAUUUGGUAUGUUCCAUGCAAACCGUGCACCUAUCUUGCAUCAAGAUUAGCACUAUCUCUAAACAGACCGAACCGAGCAUCCACUUGAGCCCAUUCACCCAGGAGUACCAACAAGUGCGUCCAAAAUGGUUUCUUAGACCAUGGUGCUUUAGGCGCAAACUGUGCACCUAUCUUGCACUAAAACUUACAAUGUCUACAAACGGACCGAAGCAAGAUUCCAUAUGACACACGUCAUCUAGGAGUUCCAUUGGGUGCGUCCAAAUUGAUUUCUAAGCAUAUGGUAUGUUGCUUCCAAAUCAUGCACCUGUCUUGCAUCAAGAUUAGCACUAUCUCCAAACAGAUCAAACCGUGCUUCCAAUUGAGCCUCUUCACCGAAGUACCUACAGGUGCUUCCAAAAUGGUUUCUUAGACUAUGGUGCAUUAGGCACAAACCAUGCACAUAUCUUGCACCGAAACUAACACUAUUUCUAAACAGACCGUAGCAAGAUUCCAUUUGACACACGUCGUAAAGGAGUUCCAUCGAGUGCAUCCAAAUUGAUUUCCAAGCAUAUGGUAUGUUCUAUGCAAACCGUUCACCUAUCUUGCAUUAAGAUUAGCACUAUCUCCAAACAGACCGAACCGAGCAUCCACUUGAGCCUCUUCAUCUAGGAGUACAAACAGGUGCGUCAAAAUGGUUUCUUAGACUAUGGUGCAUUAGGCACAAACUAUGCACCUAUCUUGCACUGAAACUAACAUUGUCUCCAAACAGACCGAAGCGAGAUUCCAUAUGACACACAUCAUCUAGGAGUUCUAUUGGGAGCGUCGAACUUGAUUUCUUAACAUAUGGUACGUUCCAUGCAAACUGUGCAACUAUCUUGCAUCAAGAUUAGCACUAUAUCUAAACAGACCAAAUCGAGCCUCCACUUGAGCCUCUUCAACCAUGAAUACCAUCGGAUGUGUCUAAAAUGGUUUCUUAGCCUAUGGUGCAUUAGGCGUAAACCGUGCACAUAUCUUCUACCAAAACUAACACUGUCUCUAAACAAACCAAAGCAAGAUAUCAUAUGACACACAUCAUCAAGGAGUUAUAUCAGGUGCGUCCUAAUUGAUUUCUGAUCAUAUCAUACGUUCCAUGCAAACCGUGCAUCUAUCUUGCAUGAGGAUUAGCACUAUCUUGCACCAAAACUAACACUGUCUCCAAACAGACCGAAGCAAGAUUUCGUAUGACACACGUCAUCUAGGAGUUCCAUCAUGUGUGUCCAGAUUGAUUUCCAAGCAUUUGGUAUGUUCCAUGCAAACCGUGCACCUAUCUUGCAUCAAGAUUCGCACUAUCUCCAAACAGACUGAACCAAGCAUCCACUUGAGCCACUUCACCUAGGAGUACCAACAAGUGCGUCCAAAAUGGUUUCUUAGACUAUGGUGCAUUUGGUGCAAACUGUGCACCAAUCUUGCACUAAAACUAACAAUGUCUCCAAAUGGACCGAAGCGAGAUUCCAUAUGACACACGUAAUCAAGGAGUUCCAUCGGGUGCAUCCAAAUUGAUUUCCAAGCAUAUGGUAUGUUCCAUGCAAACCAUGCACCUACCUUGCUUAAGGAUUAGCACUAUCUCCAAACUGACCAAACCAAGCUUCCACUUGAGCCUCUUCACCCAGGAGUACCAAAUAGUGCGUCCAAAAUGGUUUCUUAGAAUAUGGUGCAUUAGGCGCAAACUAUGCACCUAUCUUGCACUCAAACCUAUAAUGUCUACAAACAGAACGAAGCAAGAUUUCUUAUGAUACACAUCAUCUAGGAGUUCCAUUGGGUGCGUCUAAAUUGAUUUCUAAGCAUAUGGUAUGUUCCUUGCAAAUCAUGCACCUAUCUUGCAUCAAGAUUAGCACUAUCUCCAAACAGAUCAAACCGAGCUUCCACCUGAGCCUCAUCACCGAAGUACCAACAGGUGCUUCCAAAAUGGUUUCUUAGACUAUAGUGCAUUAGGCACAAACCAUGCACAUAUCUUGCACUGAAACUAACACUGUUUCUAAUCAGACCAAAGCGAGAUUCCAUAUGACACGCGUCAUCAAGGAGUUCCAUUGGGUGCAUCCAAAGUGAUUUCCAAGCAUAUGGUAUGUUCCAUGCAAAUCGUGCACCUAUCUUGCAUCAAGAUUAGCACUAUCUCCAAACAGGCCGAACCGAGCUUCCACUUGAGCCUCUUCAUCUAGGAGUAUAAACAGGUGCGUCAAAAAUGGUUUUUUAGACUGUGGUGCAUUAGGCACAAACUAUGCACCUAUCUUGCACCAAAACUAACAUUGUCUCCAAACAGACCGAAGUGAGAUUCCAUAUGACACACGUCAUCUAGGAGUUCCAUUGGGUGCGUCCAAAUUGAUUUCUUAAUAUAUGGUACGUUCCAUACAAAAUGUGCAACUAUCUUGCAUCAAGAUUGUCAAUAUAUCCGAACAGACCAAAUGGAGCCUCAACUUGAGCCUCUUCAACUACGAGUACCAUCGGGUGCGUCCAAAAUGGUUUCUUAGACUAGGGUGCAAUAGGCGCAAACCAUGCGCAUAUCUUGCACUGAAACUAACACUGUUUCUAAACAGACCAAAGCGAGAUUCCAUAUGACACACAUCAUCAAGGAGUUAUAUAUUAGGUGCGUCCUAAUUGAUUUGUGAGCAUAUCAUAUGUUCCAUGCAAACCGUGUAUCUAUCUUACAUCAAGAUUAGCACUAUCUCUAAACAGACCAAACCGAGCUUUCUUUUGAGCCCCUUGACCUAGGAGUACCAUCGGGUGCGUCCAAAAUGAUUUGUUAUCCUAUGGUGCAUUAGGUGCAAACCAUGCACCUAACUUGCACCGAAACUAACACUAUCUCUAAACGGACCGAGAUGUGAUUCCAUAUGACACAUGUCAUCUAGGACUUCCUUAUGGUGCGUCCAAAUUGAUUUCUGAGCAUAUGGUAUGUUCCAUGCAAACCGUGCACCUAUCUUGCAUCAAGAUUAGCACUAUCUACAAACAGACCGAACCGAGCAUCCACUUGAGCCCCUUCACCUAGGCUUACCAACAAGUGCGUCCAAAAUGGUUUCUUAGACUAUGGUGCAUUAGGCGCAAACCAUGCACAUUGUUGCACCGAAACUAACACUGUUUCUAAACAGACCAAAGCGAGAUUCCAUAUGACACACAUCAUCAAGGAGUUAUAUCAGGUGUGUCCUAAUUGAUUUCUGAGCAUAUCGUAAGUUCCAUGCAAACCGUGCAUCUAUCUUGCAUCAAGAUAAGCACUAUCUCCAAACAGACCAAACUGAGCUUUGACUUGAGCCCCUAGACCUAGGAGUACCAUCGGGUGCGUCCAAAAUGGUUUCUUAUCCUAUGGUGCAUUAGGUGCAAACCGUGCACCUAUCUUGCAACGAAACUAAUACUGUCUCUAAGCACACCAAAGCGAGAUUCCAUAUGACACAUGUCAUCAAGGAGUUCUAUCGGGUGUGUCCAAAUUAAUUUCUAAGCAUAUGAUACGUUCCAUGCAGGUCGUGCAUCUAUCUUGCAUCAAGAUUAGCACUAUCUCCAAAUAGACCAAACCGAGCUUUCACUUGAGCGUUUUACAUAGGAGUACCAUCGGGUGCGUCCAAAUUGGUUUCUUAGACUAUGAUGCAUUAGGUGCAAACUGUGCACCUAUCUUGCACCGAAACUAACAAUAUCUCCAAAUAGACCGAAGCAAGAUUUCGUAUGACACACGUCAUCUACGAGUUCCAUCAUGUGCGUCCAGUUUGAUUUCCAAGCUUUUGGUAUGUUCCAUGCAAACCGCGCACCUAUCUUGCAUCAAGAUUAGCACUAUCUCCAAACAGACCGAACCGAGCAUCCACUUGAGCCCAUUGACCCAGGAGUACCAACAAGUGCGUCCAAAAUGGUUUCUUAGACUAUGGAGCAAUAGGUGCAAACUGUGCACCUAUCUUGCACCGAAACUAACAAUGUCUCCAAAUGGACCAAAGCGAGAUUCCAUAUGACACACGUCAUCAAGGAGUUCCAUCGGGUGCAUCCAAAUUGAUAUCCAAGCAUAUGGUAUGUUCCAUGCAAACCAUGCACCUACCUUGCAUAAGGAUUAGCACUAUCUCCAAACUGACCAAAGAAAACUUCCACUUGAGCCUCUUCACCCAUGAGUACCAAAUAGUGCGUCCAAAAUGGUUUCUUAGACUAUGGUGCAUUAGGCGCAAACUGUGCACCUAUCUUGCACUAAAACUUACAAUGUCUACAAACGGACCAAAGCAAUAUUCCAUAUGACACACGUCAUCUAGGAGUUCCAUUGGGUGCGUCAAAAUUGAUUUCUAAGCAUAUGGUAUGUUGCUUGCAAAUCAUGCACCUGUCUUGCAUCAAGAUUAGCACUAUCUCCAAACAGAUCAAACCGUGCUUCCACUUGAGCCUCUUCACCGAAGUACCUACAGGUGCUUCCAAAAUGGUUUCUUAGACUAUGGUGCAUUAGGCACAAACCAUGCACAUAUCUUGCACCGAAACUUACACUGUUUCUAAACAGACCAUAGCGAGAUUCCAUUUGACACACGUCAUCAAGGAGUUCCAUCGAGUGCAUCCAAAUUGAUUUCCAAUCAUAUGGUAUGUUCCAUGCAAAUCGUGCACCUAUCUUGCAUCAAGAUUAGCACUAUCUCUAAACAGGCCGAACCGAGCCUCCACUUGAGCCUCUUCACCUAGGAGUACCAACAGGUGCUUCCAAAAUGGUUUCUUAGACUUUGGUGCACUAGGCGCAAACCGUGCACAUAUCUUGCACUGAAACUAAUCUAUCUCUAAGCACACCAAAGCAAGAUUUCGUAUCACACACGUCUUCAAGGAGUUCCAUCGGGUGCAUCCAAACUGAUUUCCAAGCAUAUGGUAUGUUCCAUGCAAACCGUGCACUUAUCUUGCAUCAAGAUUAGCACUAUCUCCAAACAGACCGAAGUGAGCUUACACUUGAGCCUCUUCAUCUAGGAGUACAAAUAGGUGCAUCAAAAAUGGUUUCUUAGACUAUGGUGCAUUAGGCGCAAACUAUGCACCUAUCUUGCACCGAAACUAACAUUGUCUUCAAACAGACCAAAGUGAGAUUCCAUAUGACACACGUCAUCUAGGAGUUCUAUUGGGAGCGUCCAAAUUGGUUUCUAAACAUAUGGUAUGUUCCAUGCAAACUGUGCAACUAUCUUGCAUCAAGAUUAGCACUAUAUCUGAACAGACCAAAUCGACCCUCCACUUGAGCCCUUCAACUACGAGUACCAUCGGGUGCGUCUAAAAUGGUUUCUUAGCCUAUGGUGCAUUAGGUGUAAACUGUGCACAUAUCUUCUACCAAAACUAACACUGCCUCUAAACAAACCGCAGCAAGAUUCCAUAUGACACACAUCAUCAAGGCGUUAUAUCAGGUGCGUCCUAAUUGAUUUCUAAACAUAUCGUAUGUUCCAUGCAAACUAUGCAUCUAUCUUGCAUCAAGAUUAGCACUAUCUCCGAACAGACCAAACCGAGCUUUCACUUGAGCCCCUUGACCUAGGUGUACCAUCGGGUGUGUCCAAAAUGGUUUCUUAUCCUAUGGUGCAUUAGGUGCAAACUUUGCACCUAUCUUGCACCAAAACUAACACUGUCUCUGAACGGACCGAAGUGAGAUUCCAUAUGACACAUGUCAUCUAGGAGUUCUAUCUGUUGCGUCCAAAUUGAUUUUUGAGCAUAUGGUAUGUUCCAUGCAAACCGUGCACCUAUCUUGCAUCAAGAUUAGCACUAUCUCUAAACAGACCGAACCGAGCCUCCACUUGAGCCUCUUCACCUAGGAAUACCAACAGGUGCUUCCAAAAUGGUUUCUUAGACUUUGGUGCAUUAGGCGCAAACCGUGCACAUAUCUUGCACCGAAACUAAUACUGUCUCUAAGCACACCAAAGCGAGAUUUCAUAUGACACACGUCAUCAAGGAGUUCUAUCGGGUGUGUCCAAAUUAAUUUCUAAGCAUAUGGUACAUUCGUUGCAGACCAUGCAUCUAUCUUGCAUCAAGAUUACCACUAUCUCCAAAUAGAGCAAAAUGAGCUUUCACUUGAGCCUUUUACCUAGGAGUACCAUCGGGUGCGUUCAAUAUGGUAUCUUAGCCUAUGCUGCAUUAUGUGCAAACCUUGCACCUAUCUUGCACCGAAACUAACACUGUCUCCAAACAGACCGAAGCAAGAUUUCGUAUGGCACACGUCAUCUAAGAGUUCCAUUAGGUGCGUCCAAAUUGAUUUCUUAACAUAUGGUACGUUCCGUGCAAACUGUGCAACUAUCUUGCAUCAAGAUUAGCACUAUAUCCGAACAUACCAAAUCGAGCCUCCACUUGAGCCUCUUCAACUACGAGUACCAUCGGGUGCGUCUAAAAUUGUUUCUUAGCCUAUGGUGCAUUAGGCGUAAACCGUGCACAUAUCUUAUACCAAAACUAACAAUGUCUCUAAACGAACCGAAGCAAGAUUCCAUAUGACACACAUGAUCAAGGAGUUAUAUCAAGUGCGUCCUAAUUGAUUUAUGAGCAUAUCAUAUGUUCCAUUCAAACCGUGCAUCUAUCUUGCAUCAAGAUUAGCACUAUCUCCAAAAAGAACAAACAGAGCUUUCACUUGAGCCCCUCGACCUAGGAGUACCAUCGGGUGCGUCCAAAAUGGUUUCUUAUCUUAUGGUGCAUUAGGUGCAAACAGUGCACCUAUCUUGCACCGAAACUAACGCUGCCUCUAAACGGACCGAAGUGAGAUUCCAUAUGACACAUGUCAUCUAGGAGUUCCAUCUGGUGCAUCCAAAUUGAUUUCUGAGCAUAUGGUAUGUUCCAUGCAAAUCGUGCACCUAUCUUGCAUCAAGAUUAGCACUAUCUCCAAACAGACCGAAACGAGCUUCCACUUGAGCCUCUUCACCUAGGAGUACCAACAGGUGCUUCCAAAAUGGUUUUUUAGACUUUGGUGCAUUAGGCACAAACCGUGCACAUAUCUUGCACCGAAACUAAUACUAUCUCUAAGCACACCAAAGCGAGAUUCCAUAUGACACACGUUAUCAAGGAGUUCUAUCGGGUGUGUCCAAAUUAAUUUCUAAGCAUAUGGUACGUUCUAUGCAGAGCGUGCAUCUAUGUCGCAUCAAGAUUAGCACUAUCUCCAAACUGAUCAAACCGAGCUUCCACUUGAGCCUCUUCACCGAAGUACCAACAGGUGCUUCCAAAAUGGUUUCUUAGACUAUGGUGCAUUAGGCGCAAACCAUGCACAUAUCUUGCACCGAAACUAACACCAUUUCUAAAUAGACCAAAGCGAGAUUCCAUAUUACACAUGUCAUUAAGGAGUUCCAUCUAGUGCAUCCAAAUUGAUUUCCAAGCAUAUGGUAUGUUCUAUGCAAACCGUGCACCUAUCUUGCAUCAAGAUUAGCACUAUCUCUAAACAGACCGAACCGAGCCUCCACUUGAGCCUCUUCACCUAGGAGUACCAACAGGUGCUUCCAAAAUGGUUUCUUAGACUUAGGUGCAUUAAGCGCAAACUGUACACAUAUAUUGCACCGAAACUAAUACUGUCUCUAAGCACACCAAAGCGAGAUUCCAUAUGACACACGUCAUCAAGGAGUUCUAUCGGGUGUGUCCAAAUUAAUUUCUAAGCAUAUGGACGUUCCAUGCAGACUGUGCAUCUAUCUUACAUCAAGAUUAGCACUAUCUCCAAAUAGACCAAACCGAGCUUUCACUUGAGCCUUUUACCUAGAAGUACCAUCGGGUGCGUCCAAAAUAGUUUCUUAGCCUACGCUGCAUUAUGUACAAACCUUGCAUCUAUCUUGCACUAAAACUAACACUGUCUCCAAACAGACCACAACAAGAUUUUGUAUGACACACGUCAUCUAGGAGAUCCAUCAAGUGCGUCCAGAUUGAUUUCCAAGCAUUUGGUAUGUUCCAUGCAAACCGUGCACCUAUCUUGCACCAAAACUAACAAUGUCUCCAAAUGGACCGAAGCGAGAUUCCAUAUGACACACGUCAUCAAGGAGUUAAAUCGGGUGCAUCCAAAAUGAUUUCUAAGCAUAUGGUAUGAUCUAUGCAAACCAUUCCAAAAUUUUUUCUUAGCCUAUGCUGCAUUAUGUGCAAACCUUGCACCUAUCUUGCACCGAAACUAACACUGUCUCCAAAUAGACCGAAGCAAGAUUUCGUAUGACCCACGUCAUCUAUGAAUUCCGUCAUGUGCGUCCAGAUUGAUUUCCAAGCAUUUGGUAUGUUCCAUGCAAACCAUUCAUCUAUCUUGCAUAAAGAUUAGCACUAUCUCCAAACAGACUGAACCGAGCAUCCACUUGAGCCCCUUCACCUAGGAGUACCAACAAGUGCGUCCAAAACGGUUUCUUAGACUAUGGUGCAUUAGGUGCAAACUGUGCACCUAUCUUGCGCUAAAACUAACAAUGUCUCCAAAUGGACCGAAGCGAGAUUCCAUAUGACACACGUCAUCAAGGAGUUCCAUUGGGUGCAUCCAAAUUGAUUUCCAAGCAUAUGGUAUGUUCCAUGCAAACCAUGCACCUACCUUGCUUAAGGAUUAGCACUAUCUCCAAAUUGACCGAACUGAGCUUCCACUUGAGCCUCUUCACCCAGGAGUACCAAAUAGUGUGUCCAAAAUGGUUUCUUAGACUAUGGUGCAUUAGGUGCAAACUAUGCACCUAUCUUGCACUAAAACUUAUAAUGUCUACAAAUGGACCGAAGCAAGAUUCCAUAUGACACACGUCAUCUAGGAGUUCCGUUGGGUGCGUCUAAAUUGAUUUCUAAGCAUAUGGUAUGUUCCUUGCAAAUCAUGCACCUAUCUUGCAUAGCACUAUCUCCAAAUAGAUCAAACCGAGCUUCCACUUGAGCCUCUUCAUCUAGGAGUACAAACAGGUGCGUCAAAAAAGGUUUCUUAGACUAUGGUGCAUUAGGCACAAACUAUGCACCUAUGUUGCACCAAAACUAACAUUGUCUCCAAACAGACCGAAGCGUGAUUCCAUAUGACACACGUCAUCUAGAAGUUCCAUUGGGUGCAUCCAAUUAAUUUCUUAACAUAUGGUACGUUCCAUGCAAACUAUGCAACUAUCUUGCAUCAAGAUUAGCACUAUAUCUGAACAGACCAAAUCGACCCUCCACUUGAGCCCUUCAACUACGAGUACCAUCGGGUGCGUCUAAAAUGGUUUCUUAGCCUAUGGUGCAUUAGGCGUAAACCAUGCACAUAUCUUCUACCAAAACUAACACUGUCUCUAAACGAACCGAAGCAAUAUUCCAUAUGACACACAUCAUCAAGGAGUUAUAUCAGGUGCGUCCUAAUUGAUUUCUGAGCAUAUCGUAUGUUACAUGCAAACCGUGCAUCUAUCUUGCAUCAAGAUUAGCAUUUUCUCCAAACAGACCAAACCGAGGUUUCACUUGAGCCCCUUGACCUAGGAGUACCAUCGGGUGCGUCCAAAAUGGUUUCUUAUCCUAUGGUGCAUUAGGUGCAAACCGUGCACCUAUCUUCCACCGAAACUAACACUGUCUCUAAAUGGACCGAAGUGAGAUUCCAUAUGACACAUGUCAUCUUGGAGUUCCAUCUAGUGCGUCCAAAUUGAUUUCUGAGCAUAUGAUAUGUUCCAUGCAAAUUGUGCACCUAUCUUGCAUCAAGAUUAGCACUAUCUCUAAACAGACCGAACCAAACCUCCACUUGGGCCUCUUCACCUCGGAGUACCAACAGUGCUUCCAAAAUGGUUUUUAGACUUUGGUGCAUUAGGCGCAAACUGUGCACAUAUCUUGCUCUGAAACUAAUCCUGUCUCUAAGCACACCAAAGCAAGAUUCCAUAUGACACACGUCAUCAAGGAGUUCUAUCGGGUGUGUCCAAAUUAAUUUCUAAGCAUAUGGUACGUUCCAUGCAAACCGUGCAUCUAUCUUGCAUCAAGAUUAGCACUAUCUCCAAAUAGACCGAACCAAGCAUCCACUUGAGCCCCUUCACCUAGGAGUACCAACAAGUGCGUCCAAAAUGGUUUCUUAGACUAUGGUGCAUUAGGUGCAAACUGUGCACCUAUCUUGCACCGAAACUAGCAAUGUCUCCAAAUGGUCCGAAGCGAGAUUCCAUAUGACACACGUAAUCAAGGAGUUCCAUCGGGUGCAUCCAAAUUGAUUUCCAAGCAUAUGGUAUGUUCCAUGCAAACCAUGCACCUACCUUGCAUAAGGAUUAGGACUAUAUGCAAACUGACCAAACCAAGCUUCUACCAGAGCCUCUUCACCUAGGAGUACCAAAUAGUGCGUCCAAAAUGGUUUCUUAGGUUAUGGUGCAUUAGGCGCAAACUAUGCACCUAUCUUGCACUAAAACUUAUAAUGUCUACAAACGGACCGAAGCAAGAUUUCAUAUGACACACGUCAUCUAGGAGUUCCAUUGGGUGCGUCCAAUUUGAUUUCUAAGCAUAUGGUAUGUUCCUUGCGAAUCAUGCACCUAUCUUGCAUCAAGAUUAGCACUAUCUCCAAACAGAAAAACCGAGCUUCCACUUGAGCCUCUUCACCGAAGUAGCAACAAGUGCUUCCAAAAUGGUUUCUUAGAAUCAAUAUGAAAAACAGCCCCUUUUUUUCUUUUGAAUCUUUUCUCUUUUCUUUUUUUGUUUUUCUUCUUUUUUUUUUCUUUUUUUUGGGCAACCUCAAAAACUGAUUAUAUGAACAAAUGAAUACAAAAGAGCAAUUCGCUACACACACUUUUUCCGAAAGUACAGGGGUAUUCCGAAACUAACAUUGUCUCCAAACAGACUGAAGUGAGAUUCCAUAUGACACACGUCAUCUAAGAGUUCCAUUGGGUGCGUCCAAAUUGAUUUCUUAAGAUAUGGUACGUUCAAUCCAAACUAUGCAACUAUCUUGCAUCACGAUUAGCACUAUAUCCGAACAGACCAAAUCAAGCCUCCACUUAAGCCUCUUCAACUACGAGUACCAUCGGGUGCGCCUAAAAUGGUUUCUUAGCCUAUGGUGCAUUAGGCGUAAACCGUGCACAUAUCUUCUACCAAAACUAACACUGUCUCUAAACGAACCGAAGCAAGGUUCCAUAUGACACACAUCAUCAAGAAGUUAUAUUAGGUGCGUCCUAAUUGAUUUCUGAGCAUAUCGUACAUUUCAUGCAAACCGUGCAUCUAUCUUACAUUAAGAUUAGCACUAUCUCCAAACAGAAGCAAAAUCUGUAAACUCACUAGUAGCAGCCCUAACACGUGUAGUCUCAGGAAAUUCAUGACAUGCAAACUUUUGAUCAACAGCAAUCUCCCAAGUGAUGUAAGCAUCAGGGUCAUAUUUACCAUCAAAAGGGGGUAUCUUAAAUUUAAUCUUACUGAAAGCAUCAUCAUUAUUGUGUACCUCGCGUCGGCGGUUGCCACCCAUACCUCUACGGUUGUGACGAAGGCGACGUCGAUCACGAGUGUCUUGAUCAUCAUGUUCAGUAUCACCAGUGUAGUCAUCUUCAUGACUACCGUGCUCUCGAUCUCCCUCCUUUUCUUCUUUAUUCUUCUCUUUAUCUUCGGUGUGGAAAGCAUCAAAUCGCCUUAGGAGAGCAGCAAGGCUUUUGUCCACACUAGCAACGGAUUCCUCCAAACUUGUGAGCUUGUUGUUUGUGGCAAUCUGCGUAGCCUCCAACUGUCCCAGCUUUUCAUUUGUCACCUGCAAGUCGUUAUCAAGUCCCUCUGUGUGCAGCUUCACUUUCCUUUCAAAAUGUUGUAUGAUGCCCUUAGUGCGAGGUGUAUGUGGUGUUUCGUUACCAUCAUCUGCCCCUGGCAUGGUUCAAAGACAAAGACAACAAAAAGGCAAGUGAAGAAAUAAAAGCCCUACAACUACUAGGAUGUAGCUACAGCAAGUCGCUCACACUCAACCUGUAACACAAGUUCUGUUGACACCAUUUUUGGGCACGUGUCCAGAAUGGCAGGACAGGGUGGCAGUACGAUACGGGUUGCUGGUAAGGAUGGUUGCCGAUGAGGGAAGGGUUGAAUGUGACUAAGUCCUCUGACAGUAACAUGGUACCGAUGACCAAGUAAAAGGGUCUGCCGAUGACUAUGGCAAGGGGAUUGCCGAUGGCGCGAAGGAGGAGUCCGGAAGUUGCCAGUUGUCAUGUGGAGGAGUUUCGGUUUGUCACGAAGGAUGGUUUUAUUAUUUCCUUAUGUUAUUCGUAUCGUUUUAUAUACGGGUUCCGUGUAAUUUGGAAUUCGAAUUCUAAUCGUGUCUGGUCGUAGCUCUUUGAGCAGGGUAUAAAUGUAAGCCCUAAGACCUUGUAAUCAGAUAUCAAGAAAUCAAUCAAACAUACGUUUUUACUCAUAUUCCAGCAUCUACUUUUCGACGACUUCGUCACCCUUUUUUUCUUCUUAUUACGAGUUCUUAGGAAUUCGUCGACUUAAGCUCGGCGUGUUCUCGAGUUCCGCGUGAGUACCUCUUAGCCGUGACAUCCGGGCGCAUCGCUGUUGUCAGGACUAAAGUAUUCGAGUUAUCACCUUUGCCGAUAGCAAGGUCAAAUCGGCUGGCACGCCUUAACGUUUGAAUCGGGUAUUAGCCCUUUGUGUUUGCAGAUCAAUUUUGCAUCAACACAUCUUUUGGCACGCCCAGUGGGACGGAUUCAAGAUCAAGAUCAACAUGUCGAUCUCUGACCUCGAUCAAGACAACGUCAUCCCCGUGACGGAAGCUAACCUCAAGGAUGAGCAGAAGCAAGCUAUUGCCCAAGCUAUGGAAGAGUUCAAGCAGCAAUGCCUGAAGUCUUUCAGCAUAAACAGGAGCGGCGAAGUGGUCCAGAAAGAUGCACUGCCGGCACCACGGCAGGUCACCUUUGACGCCAAUCCUGGCAAGCUUCAAGACAUGGUUGAUAAUGCCAUCAAUCGAGCGUUGAUUAACCAAGCUGGUGUACUAUCUAAUACGGUUUUCAACGCCGUGGCAAGAACCUUCAAGGAAGGACAAAUCCCGCCGGAUUAUGUGGGCCCUUCCCAUCAUCAACCCACGGCACCAGAGGUCACGGCUCCAUCGGCUGCCUUGACAAGUGCGAGUGCACAGUCUGCCGUUCCUCCGAGUACAUUGGGGACUACUGGUGCACUAUCUAUGCCGAUGGCAACCAACCCACAAAUUUCAGUUGGGCAGCAUAAACUGACAACAGAUAUGUUGGCAUCGGCAAUGUCGGGGUUAACUCUUCCUCCUAACUGGUGGGGUUAUGGUAUGCCUCCAGAGUUGACGCCGGGAACAUCACAGAUAACUGACAUGAGGGGCAAAACUCCUAUGACAUCGGCACCCUCCAAUGUGCCGGUGAACCAGAGUCCUCGGUAUACCACAACUACUACUGCAAGGCCUCACACUGGAAAUCCUCAAGAUUCAAUGUUCCAGAUGCCUAACGCAUCGGCAGAGUCAAUGCUGAUGCAACAGAGGCCUAUGGCGCAGUCAGGGUAUGUCAAUUCAACGACGGUACCCAAUUACCAAUCAUCGGCAGCACCUAUGCCGAUGAACGCUAAUAAUGGAUGGCUGGGACAGCAAGCCUUUCCACAGUCGCCCCAGCAGGUUUAUCAGACUACAGGGUUCCAGCAAGGGCAGGUGUAUCCCGGGUUCCAAGGUCAGGGAAUUCCCAACCAGCCAAUAAAUUUUGGACAGCAACUCGGAGGACAGCCAAUCGGUGGACAACAGUUUGGUAGUCCGCAGAUUGGAGGACAGGUGACCAAUACGAUGUUCCAUACAGGUCACGUCCCGAACAGACACGUGGAGGUUCGCCACCAAAUGCCAGAUCCGCAGCCGCCUCAUCGGCAAGAUGCCGAUGCGUAUUGGGCCGAUAAGAUUGCCGAAGUAAUGAGGGAACAAUUUGGGAUAAAACCCAAAGUCAACACUUAUUCUUAUCGGACACCGUAUCCUCCAGCGUAUGAUUUGAUCCCGCUUCCACAUCGUUACAAAGUACCGGAUUUUACAAAGUUUUCCGGACAGGACGACACGUCAACCAUGGAGCAUGUCAACAGGUUCAUUAUUCAAUGUGGAGAGGCUGGUAACAGGGACGAAUUGAGGGUUCGCCUAUUUUCAUCAUCAUUAUCUGGAUCGGCCUUUACUUGGUUCAUAUCAUUGCCUCCCAAUUCAGUAAUUACUUGGGCCGAUCUAGAGAAGCAAUUCCACAGAUACUUCUUCUCGGGGGUUCAUGAGAAGAAGAUCACCGACUUGGUCAAGCUGAGGCAACGUAAUGAUGAGUCGGUUGAGGGAUUUGUGCAGAGGAUACGAGAAGUCAAAAAUAAAUGCUAUAACCUGGUUCUGGAUGAUCGGCAGCUAGCCGAUUUGGCUUUUCAGGGUCUGUUGCCACACAUCAGGGAUAAGUAUGCCUCUCAGGAGUUCGAAAGUUUAAGUCACUUGGUGCAGAGGAUAUCUGAUCAAGACAUCAAGCCUUUCGAGCCUAAGAGGGCAUGGAAUAAGAAAGUCUCAUUUGUUGAUGAGGCAACAAGCUCAGAUUCCGAUGAAGAACCAGUAAUCGGUUUGGCAGAAUGGGUAAAAAACAAGAAGCCGAUGUCUUGUCCUUUUGGGCAGAAGGAACCAGAGAAGUUUGCAUUUGACACCACCAAGGCCGAUAGGAUAUUUGACUUUCUACUUCAGGAAGGUCAAAUCAAAUUGUCACCUAACCACGUGAUCCCGUCGGCAGAAGAGUUGAAGAGGAUGAGGUAUUGCAAGUGGCAUAAUGCAACUUCACAUGAUACCAAUGAGUGCAAAGUAUUCAGACAACAGCUGCAAUCGGCCAUAGAGUCAGGGAGAAUCAAGUUUGAUAGUUCCAAAGCCCAGAAGCCGAUGAAGAUAGACCAACAUCCUUUCCCGACGAACACGUUGGAUGCUAAGGGGAAGGCUAAGGUCUUGACGUCGGAGAUAGCUGAGAAGAGUGCAUCGGUAGAUCCUCAGCAUCAAGUUACUACCGCUGAUGCAAGAAGUAAGGGCUUGGUCCAGGAAGGAACUAGCUCAGGAAGAAUUCCUCGAUCUGGUAUUGUCAUAACUCAUAGAAGGCCUCGAGAGAGAUGGCAACAACGGGAAGAUCGGUACCGGCGCCAGCAGGAAGAUUAUCAACGGGAAGAAGAGAGACGCCGACAGGAGUGGAAUCGGCAUAGGGAUCAUUGGAAUUGCCCAUUCUUCAUCCAUUGUUGGGAGGAAAAUAUCAAGCUUCCUACUGUCAGAGACUGCCCUGAAUGCAACGGUUAUGAUCGGUACGACAGGAACGAUCGGCGUUAUCAUGAUGAUGAACGACGAUUUAAUGGGCCGAUCAGAGGAAGGGCGUCAGUUCAUGAUCGGCUGGGGGGCAGGCUUAGCAUUCACGAUCGGCUUGGUGACCGUGUCCAGUAUUUUCCCAGGAACCAAGAGGAGCUUGAAAGAAUGGCUGAUGCGCGGGUUCCCGAUGAAUUCAUAUUUUGCAGGGAUGCUAAUACGCAUCGCAUGGAGUUAAGAGAGAACCAACGCCCGACGGCAAGGCAAAGGCCACUUCCUCCAUGGUGCCCUCAAGGAUUAACUAAGACACAGAAAAGGAGAUUGCAACAUGAAAGGCAGGAAGAGCUAAAUAAAGGAGAGAACUCUGGAAGUCGGCAGCCAUCAGACACUAAGAAGGAAGGUCCAUCGGCAGGCGUCAACAUGGUCUUCAUGUUGCCGAUGGAGUUUCUUGCACCAGCCAGUGAUGAUGAGUUGGAAUUUUCUGAUCAGAUAGCUCAGUUGGCUCUGGAUCCGAUGACGGCUAUCUUUGAGAAACCUGCCGAUGACGAGAGGCAGCAUCUCAAAGCUUUGUUCCUCAAAGGAAGGGUCGAUGGGCAGCCAAUGACCAAGAUCCUGGUUGAUGGUGGAGCCGCUAUUAAUAUUAUGCCGUACGCAGUAUAUCGGAAGCUUGGAAAAGGGGAUCAAGAUUUGACCAAGACCGAUAUGAUGCUAAAAGAUUUUGAAGGAAACGUGUCUCCAGUCAAGGGAGCGAUAUGUGCAGAGUUGACUAUCGGCAGCAAAACCUUGCCGACAACUUUUUUCGUGAUCAGCGGAAAAGGUGCUUACAAUUUAUUAUUGGGGAGAGAUUGGAUUCAUGCCAAUUGUUGUGUCCCAUCUACAAUGCAUCAGUGCUUGGUUCAGUGGGUAGGCGACAAGAUUGAGAUCGUCCCAGGGGAUUCUUCUUAUGUUAUCGCAUCGGCAGAGGCGGAUACUUAUGAAAAGACUAGGUGCAUUUCAGGAGAAGUGUGGGAGAAAGAUUUUCUCAAGGUUGCCGAUUAUGAGAUUCCACCGAUCCAAGCAGUCGGUUCUGAUGACGGUUUUUAAUGGAUAGAUUCGCCGAUGAUGGAAAAUUAGGCCAGGGAUUCACAUCGGCCGAUGAUUUGGUAGAAGUAGAUAUAGGUAGUGGUGAUAGGCCUAGGCCUACUUUUAUCAGCGCUAAACUAGAUCCUGAGUGUAGACGGCAAUUAACUAGUUUGUUAAAGGAAUAUAAAGAUUGCUUUGCUUGGGAUUAUACAGAGAUGCCUGGUUUAGACCGAUCAAUUGUUGAACAUCGGUUACCCAUUAAGUCUGGAUUUCGGCCACAUCAGCAACCAGCCCGCCGAUGUAAUCCUAACAUUCUACCUCAUAUUAAGGCCGAAAUCACUAAACUUAUUGAAGCUAAGUUUAUUCGGCAGUGUCGGUAUGCUGAAUGGAUUUCCAAUGUCGUCCCGGUUUACAAGAAGAAUGGGAAACUUCGGGUGUGCAUUGAUUUCAGGAAUCUCAAUAAAGCUACGCCGAUGGAUGGAUAUCCAAUGCCUGUCGCCGAUCUACUGGUUGAUGCUGCGGCUGGCCAUCGGGUCAUCAGCUUCAUGGAUGGUAAUGCGGGUUACAAUCAAAUAUUCAUGGCAGAAGAGGAUAUUCCAAAAACCGCAUUCAGGUGUCCUGGUCAUGUUGGACUAUUUGAAUGGAUAGUCAUGACUUUUGGGUUAAGGAAUGCCGGUGCUACCUAUCAAAGGGCUAUGAAUUUUAUAUUUCAUGAGUUCAUCGGCAAGAUCGUAGAAAUUUAUAUUGAUGAUGUGGUGGUUAAGUCUGGAGAUUUCUCAAAGCAUCUUGCCGAUUUACGAAGAGUGUUGGAAUGCACGAGGAAGCAUGGAUUGAAGAUGAAUCCCAACAAGUGUGCAUUUGGUGUAUCGGCAGGGCAGUUUCUUGGUUUCAUGGUACAUCAGAGGGGUAUUGAAAUUAGUCGAAGGUCUAUUGAUGCUAUCGAUAAAAUAGUGGCCCCUACCAAUAAAACCGAGCUCCAAUCGUUGAUCGGCAAAGUGAAUUUUAUCAGAAGAUUUAUAUUGAAUUUAUCUGGGAGAAUUCGUGCUUUCAGUCCUCUUCUUAAAUUGAAAGCCGAUCAGGAGUUUGUUUGGGGAAAAGAACAGCAGUUGGCUCUAGAUGAAAUCAAAAGGUAUCUAGUAAACCCUCCAGUUUUAGUUCCACCUCGACAAGGGAAACCCUUCAAAUUAUAUUUAUCUACCGAUGGAUCGGUUAUCGGUUCAGCUUUAGUUCAAGAAUUUGAAGGGAAAGAGAGGGUAAUUUAUUAUUUGAGUAGGAGGUUAAUUGAUGCUGAAAUCAGGUAUUCGGCCAUUGAGAAGCUGUGCUUAUGCUUAUAUUUUUCAUGUAUCAAGCUAAGACAUUACCUGUUGUCAGCCGAAUGUGCUGUUGUUUGCAAAGAUGACGUGGUCCGAUACAUGCUAUCUAUGCCGAUUAUGAGUGGUAGGAUCGGUAAAUGGAUUUUGGCGCUGUCGGAGUUCGAUUUGCGUUACGAAUCGGCUAAGGCGGUCAAAGGGCAGGUUAUGGCCGAUUUCGUGACUCAGCAUUGCGGUCUAGUGGAAACCUGGGAAAUUGCACCCUGGACGCUCUUCUUUGAUGGAUCUACCUGUGACCGGGGGGCAGGAAUCGGCAUUAUAUUAGUUUCUCCUAAGGGGAGGAAGUAUGAAUUUUCCUUGCCGAUUGUUGCUACAUCAACAAAUAAUCAGGCUGAGUAUCAAGCUCUGAUCAAGGGAUUGGAGUUGUUAAGAGAAGUUCGUGCUGAUGCUGUUGAAGUAUUCGGAGAUUCCAUGUUGGUUAUAAAUCAAUUGGCUGGAAGCUAUGAGUGCCGAAGUGAAGUUCUCAUAACCUAUUUCGAGAGAAGUAUACAACUGUUGAAGGAAUUCAAGAACUUCCGAUUGGAGCAUAUUCCCCGAUUGCAUAAUGAAGACGCUAAUCGGUUAGCCCAGCAUGCCUCGGGAUAUCAGCCAAUGAUUAAUGCGACAUCGGUAGUCACUGCCGGUGAUUGGAGGGAAGAAAUCAUUGAUUAUCUAAAAGAUCCGUCCAAAAAGGUUGAAAGACGGGUUCGAUUUCAAGCAACCAAGUAUGUGAUCCUUGAAAAUGAAUUGUAUUAUCGAACUAUCGACGGAAUUCUUCUCCGAUGCCUGGGUGAUGAUGAAGCCAGAAGUUUAAUGGGAGAAAUCCAUGAAGGAGUGUGUGGAGCGCAUCAGUCAGCUUUUAAGAUGAAGUGGAUGAUUCGAAGGAAUGGAUAUUUUUGGCUGACCAUACUCGAAGAUUGUUUUAAAUAUUUCAAGGGAUGUCAAGGUUGUCAAAAGUUCGGUAAUAUCCAGAGAGCACCCGCAUCGGCUAUGAAUCCUAUAAUAAAACCUUGGCCGUUCCGGGGGUGGGCCAUCGAUCUGAUCGGCCAGAUUCAUCCACCAUCUAGCAAAGGGCAUAAAUUCAUUCUGGUUGCCACUGACUAUUUCACCAAAUGGGUCGAAGCUAUUCCCUUGAAGAAAGUCACAUCGGCCAAUAUGAUUGAUUUUGUGAAGGAGCAUAUUAUUUACCGAUUUGGGAUUCCCCAAACGGUUACUACCGAUCAGGGCACCAUGUUCACGUCGGGGGAGUUCGAUGAAUUUGCAAUCGGUAUGGGAAUUAAAGUGUUGAAUUCUUCUCCUUACUAUGCUCAAGCCAAUGGGCAGGCCGAAGCGUCUAACAAGGGAAUUAUCAAGCUUAUUAAACGAAAGAUUGAAGAAAAUCCUAGGCGGUGGCAUACAUUGUUGAAUGAAGCACUGUGGUCUUAUCGGAUGGCUUGUCAUGGAUCAACCAAGGUGUCGCCUUAUCAAUUGGUGUAUGGACAUGAUGCAGUUUUGCCUUGGGAGAUUAAGGCUGGAUCUAGGCGAUUAUCUUUUCAAGAUCAAUUGGCUGCCGAUGAUUAUGCCACUUUAAUGACCGAUGAGUUAGAUGAUUUAGCAGGGCAUCGGUUAACGGCUUUAAUGAGUAUAGAAGAAAAUAAGAAGAGAGUUGCCAGAUGGUAUGAUAAAAAGGUGAAGGCUAAGGAGUUUGCCGAUAAGGAUUUGGUAUGGAAGUUGAUUUUGCCAGUCGGGACUAAAAGUUCAAAGUUUGGAAAGUGGUCUCCUAAUUGGGAAGGUCCUUAUCGGAUAAAACGCUCAGCUCCUGGUAAUGCCUAUAUUCUAGAAACUCUCGAAGGAGUUGAAUUUCCUAGAGCAUUAAAUGGCAAAUAUUUGAAGAAGUACUACCCCAGCAUAUGGAUCGAUGCAUAAAAGGUUAAGUGCCGAUAACAUUCCUAUCGGCUGAAUUUAAAUGUUCAAGGGCAGACUUAAUGUUUCAAAAGAUGCCGAUAACAGUCUUAUCGGCUAGACUAAAAGCUAAAAACGGAGAAACAAAGGUGUGUCGCCGAUGAAAGCUUCAGAUGUUCAGCAGUGCCUGGAUUGCAGAUAUGGCGCGCAGCCGAAUCUGGUUGGCUGUCUCUAUCUCUUUGAUAUCGUCAUCGGCAGAACCUUCAAUCGGCUUCAAUUUCCUCUUCAGUUGCAACGCUUUACGACCGUGGACGUUUCGUUCCUGUUCAAGAUGCUUGAUGGUCUCCGGCAGUUGACUAUCUUCUUGUUGGGCUUGGGACAGGGCGUCUUCUACUUGCUUGAGUUCAGCCAGCAGAGCUUCUCUUUUUGCCGAUAGAUCAGACAUUUUCUGCUUCAGUGCAUCACCUGAGGACUUUAAGAUGCCGAUGUUCUUAUGUUUCUCAUUGGCUAAGAGUUUUUCUUUUAUCAUCUCCUCAGAGAGCUGGAUUUGAGCAGCUCUGUCGGCAAGGCGUCGAGUAGCUCUCUGGUACUGUAGCUGACGGCUUUCUAGAUGUGCAGCGUGGAAGAGUGCUUCUUCGGCAUCGGCAGGAAUUUGGCCUCUAAGAGUCUUGAACAGGGCCUUGGCUGGGUCAGAAUCGUCGACCAGUUGAGUUGUGUCUUGAUGAAGUAUGGCCGAUAGCUCCUCCAGCCUAGCUUUAGUUUCUGCCGAUACAAUUCCAACUGCCCGAGAAGAGCUUGCUUCCUCGCCUUCUUCUUCAAAGAUAUCAAUAGCGAAGGAGAAUAAGCUGUCGGGAGAAUCUUGUUCCUGAAAAUGAAAAUGAAAUAGGUCAAUUUUAUGGUCAAAACGUCGACAGAUGAUACCGAUGGAAAAGUGGAUGACUUACUUGCUUCAGGGCAAUUUCCUGCCUUUGACUCAGAGAGGCCGAUGGAGCUGCAGGUUGAUCGGCAGAUGUUGCCGAUAGAACGAUAUCGCCUGAAAGAAGACAGGAAGCAUUAUAAGAAGAAAUGAAAAUGAGUUUAUCGGUAGGAGUAUUGUUGGGAUAUGUUACCCGGAAGAGGAACAACAGUUGUUUGAAUUGAGGAGACCGCCGAUGACAUAACUGGACCUGCCAGGCCAGUUGUUUGUUCGCCUACGUCAGAUAACGCACCCGCCGUUUGAGGUUCUUCUUGCUGAGGCUCUUCAGUCUGUAGUGCUUCCUGUGUUGAUUGAGGAGAUAUUCCUUGCUGUGCUUGGACUUCUGGAGGAGAAGGGGAAGAUUCCACCGGGAUUGGAAACACCGGAGGAGGAGGAGGAGUUGCCAUUUUCUGACGCUUUGUUCCAGUCUUAACACCUUGGACGCCUUUCCUCUUUGGCUGGCUAGACUGGGGGGGAUCGGCACCUUGACGUUUGGCUUUUGCCGAUGCACCAGUUUGCUGCAACAACGAUAAAGAGUUUAUGAGCACAGAUAACCGAUAUAAAGAUAGUCAGCAUAAAUAAAAAGGGGUUUUAACAGAUUGCCUUGAAAGCUUGCGCCAAAGUGGAAGCAGUUACCGUUGGUGAUGUCUGAGUUUUCCUGGUGGUAACUUUCUUGAGACGCGCACCCCGGUGCACAAUGGAAGCCAGAGUGGGAGCAUUGUGGCCGAUUGAGGAGAUCGGGCCUGGUGGGAAUAAGUCGAUCGGCUUGCCACUCCUGCUAACCGAUGGGGGGGUGUUGUCAAUCUGCAAAAAGAACACAGGGGUAAAUUAUCGAUGGGAAUAGUAUUGGAAAAUGAGACAUCGGUUUAAAACACUUACAGUGUCGUCAGGGACUUCGUAUUCGGGGUCGAUCAUGCCACGGUAUGAGAGAGCCGAUCUGCAGAAUAGAUUCUCCUUCCAUUCUGCCCACCAUAGCUUGUAUGCUUGAGUAAUAAAGGCAGCUGGAACCCAUUCUGACAGAUCUACAUCUGUAUCGGCAUUUGGUGGUAACUGGGCUACUCAAGUCCACUCGAGGAGGUUAGCGAUGGGUUCUCUGGGCUUUAUUACAUCGGCAUAAGGAAGUGCGAUCGGCAAUUGGCCGAAAGCCAGCUGGCGAGCUAAUGCCGAUGGAUUAUAAAAUUCAUAGGUUUGGGGAGAGGUUUUCGUGCUGCCGAAGAAGUUCACUGGUAUGGCUCUGGGAGUCACGAUUGCCAUCAUCACCUCAUUGUCCCUGUCAAGAGCGUCGUCGAACGGAUUGAAGGUCAGGGGGAGCAUGCUGUCUGGGUCGUCAUAAGCCAGCCAUGGUCGUUCAUCUCUGGCCAGACCCUCAUACAGCGUUUCGAAGAAUCGGCCGAUCUGAUCCGGAGUGUUCCCUGAACCGGGUAAAACUAUAACAGCUUCGCCAAAGUUCAGGGGGGCACGUGUUGCCGAUUCCUCUUCGCCCAACACAUGGUUCUCGGCUAUAUCUCUUGGGAAGUGCUGAGAGAAUAAGUUGAGGUCAAGGCGCUUGUGCAGGUGCAGGUUGAGCCACAUAUUAAUAAACCACCAAGGACCUCCCAAGUUGCCGAUAGGUUGGCCGAGCAGGAGUUUCUGGACUACCUGAUGAAGGAGGUGAUAAACAGCGCCGAGCAAAUAACGGCCGAGAGGAAAUUGACCACCGCUAGCCAGUCUUUCUGCUGCCGAUAGGUAGACAGAAGUCGGUCCUGCCGAUCGACCACAGAAUACAAAUUUGUCUAGCCACAUGUUCAGAAAAGUGGUUUGUUCCUUUAUGGAGACAGGCCCUCUCCCGCGGUACUUCUGGAUGUACCCUGACCAGCCGCCGAUAGCGCGAGUCUCCACUUUGGCGCUGGGGGCGGUAUCAAAAAAGUGGGUGCUAUCGGCAGAAGAUAUGUCUAACCCAGUGAGCAUGGCUACAUCGGCAAGGGUAGGAGAAGCAGGGCCGUGGCCAAAAACAAAAGCGUUGAGAGUAUCUGACCAAAAGUAAGAUGCGGCUAUCAGCAGUGACUCGUUCCUGUGCAUAUCGGCAAUGGACAGCCUAAUGCAUUGAGCUAAUUUCCUCUCACCCCAUUGAACUUCAUAAGAGUUGCUGACCCUCAAGAACCAGUCUUUCCACCCUACAGUAGGGCUAGGCCAAGAGCGAAAGGUGUCUUUCCAUAGAUCUAGAGCAAAGUUUUCGGCUCUAAAGGGAAUCCUGUUGGUUUCUGCGUUGAUAAGGUCGGUUGGAUCUGGAUCCCCUAGGGGGCCGAGGCAUUGAAGAUGUGGUUGAUCGGUAGGAAUGACAAUUUUGUUGGAUAACUCCUGGUGUUUUGGGGAAUAAAGAUACAAAGAAAAGGGAGAGGGAAAAUAUUCGGUAAGGUAAAUCGCAGAUGAACAGGAAUGCAGGAAAAAGGUACAGCGGAUGAGAUGAAAGUCUGACCUCAGGGACGACGAAGCCAACGGCCAUCUUGUCGUGAGGGGGACGCUGGAAGACGCCGGAGUUGAUGAAGAAGAAUGCUUGUCGGAGAUCUUGGGGAUUGAGAAUGGCGCCGCCGCUGGAAAAGUGAUGUUGGAUGGCAGAAUGAUGUAAUGGGGGAGGAGUACCCAAGAAGGAACUAUUUAUAGGGCAAGAUGGGCAAGGGCAAAUCUGACUUAUUUCUUUGCCACAUCCGAGAAACCCGAGGGUACUCAAGUGGAUAUGGUAACUGUUCGCACGAUAAUCCAGGGAUUGUGCAGGUGAUUUGACAGGAAGCGGUCAUUAUCUAAAGAUAUUUUACUGUGCGCGAUCUCUUGGUCGGUCCAUCGGUGAUAUUCUAUAACGGUCGUCCUGCCGAUGGGCAGAUAGAGGGGAAGUAACCGUUUUUGCGAAUAUCCUGGGCAGAGCAUCGGCAGAUCUUUGUAACGGUAUUGUUGCCGAUGUACGACUAAGAGGGAUGCCCGUUUGGGAAGUUGUGGAUUUCGAGGGAUCUGCGGAGGAUUAGGAUCAGAGUUGCCCAGAUUGAGGUUGUCGGUUACCAGAUUAGGAGCAUUAAUUGCGGAAAAGACAUCAUUACUGCAGAGAAUUUCGGAGCAUUAAUAGUUUUAUACUCCGAAACUGGGGGGCAUGUGUUGACACCAUUUUUGGGCACGUGUCCAGAAUGGCAGGACAGGGUGGCAGUACGAUACGGGUUGCUGGUAAGGAUGGUUGCCGAUGAGGGAAGGGUUGAAUGUGACUAAGUCCUCAGACAGUAACAUGGUACCGAUGACCAAGUAAAAGGGUCUGCCGAUGACUAUGGCAAGGGGAUUGCCGAUGGCGCGAAGGAGGAGUCCGGAAGUUGCCAGUUGUCAUGUGGAGGAGUUUCGGUUUGUCACGAAGGAUGGUUUUAUUAUUUCCUUAUGUUAUUCGUAUCGUUUUAUAUACGGGUUCCGUGUAAUUUGGAAUUCGAAUUCUAAUCGUGUCUGGUCGUAGCUCUUUGAGCAGGGUAUAAAUGUAAGCCCUAAGACCUUGUAAUCAGAUAUCAAGAAAUCAAUCAAACAUACGUUUUUACUCAUAUUCCAGCAUCUACUUUUCGACGACUUCGUCACCCUUUUUUUCUUCUUAUUACGAGUUCUUAGGAAUUCGUCGACUUAAGCUCGGCGUGUUCUCGAGUUCCGCGUGAGUACCUCUUAGCCGUGACAUCCGGGCGCAUCGCUGUUGUCAGGACUAAAGUAUUCGAGUUAUCACCUUUGCCGAUAGCAAGGUCAAAUCGGCUGGCACGCCUUAACGUUUGAAUCGGGUAUUAGCCCUUUGUGUUUGCAGAUCAAUUUUGCAUCAACAAGUUCUUACCAAUUCUUACCUUGCUUGACAGGAGGGGUCGUCUGCCAACAAGUGGACAGCAAUGGACGAAGUGUAUCAGUGCUGCAGCACAAGACCUGUCAAGCUGUAGAGUAUGUGGAGCUAUAGGUGGGCUGAAACAAGGAACGAACUAGCACCACGUUAGUUAUAAAAGCGAGCUGAAUAAGCGUUCGACGAUGGUACUGUGCUGGUCCUAGGCUAGACCGUGCUAGAGACGCGAGCUUGGACACAAAGGAAAGCCACAGCACACCCCCAAAAACAAGGUGGAACAAACCUAAAAUCAAUAUGAAAAACAGCCCCUUUUUUUUCUUUUGAAUCUUUUCUCUUUUCUUUUUUUGUUUUUCUUCUUUUUUUUCUUUUUUUUGGGCAACCUCAAAAACUGAUUAUAUGAACAAAAGAAUACAAAAGAGCAAUUCGCUACACACACUUUUUCCGAAAGUACAGGGGUAUUCCGAAACUAACAUUGUCUCCAAACAGACUGAAGUGAGAUUCCAUAUGACACACGUCAUCUAAGAGUUCCAUUGGGUGCGUCCAAAUUGAUUUCUUAAGAUAUGGUACGUUCAAUCCAAACUAUGCAACUAUCUUGCAUCACGAUUAGCACUAUAUCCGAACAGACCAAAUCAAGCCUCCACUUAAGCCUCUUCAACUACGAGUACCAUCGGGUGCGCCUAAAAUGGUUUCUUAGCCUAUGGUGCAUUAGGCGUAAACCGUGCACAUAUCUUCUACCAAAACUAACACUGUCUCUAAACGAACCGAAGCAAGGUUCCAUAUGACACACAUCAUCAAGAAGUUAUAUUAGGUGCGUCCUAAUUGAUUUCUGAGCAUAUCGUACAUUCCAUGCAAACCGUGCAUCUAUCUUACAUUAAGAUUAGCACUAUCUCCAAACAGAAGCAAAAUCUGUAAACUCACUAGUAGCAGCCCUAACACGUGUAGUCUCAGGAAAUUCAUGACAUGCAAACUUUUGAUCAAUAGCAAUCUCCCAAGUGAUGUAAGCAUCAGGGUCAUAUUUACCAUCAAAAGGGGGUAUCUUAAAUUUAAUCUUACUGAAAGCAUCAUCAUUAUUGUGUACCUCGCGUCGGCGGUUGCCACCCAUACCUCUACGGUUGUGACGAAGGCGACGUCGAUCACGAGUGUCUUGAUCAUCAUGUUCAGUAUCACCAGUGUAGUCAUCUUCAUGACUACCGUGCUCUCGAUCUCCCUCCUUUUCUUCUUUAUGCUUCUCUUUAUCUUCGGUGUGGAAAGCAUCAAAUCGCCUUAGGAGAGCAGCAAGGCUUUUGUCCACACUAGCAACGGAUUCCUCCAAACUUGUGAGCUUGUUGUUUGUGGCAAUCUGCGUAGCCUCCAACUGUCCCAGCUUUUCAUUUGUCACCUGCAAGUCGUUAUCAAGUCCCUCUGUGUGCAGCUUCACUUUCCUUUCAAAAUGUUGUAUGAUGCCCUUAGUGCGAGGUGUAUGUGGUGUUUCGUUACCAUCAUCUGCCCCUGGCAUGGUUCAAAGACAAAGACAACAAAAAGGCAAGUGAAGAAAUAAAAGCCCUACAACUACUAGGAUGUAGCUACAGCAACUCGCUCACACUCAACCUGUAACACAAGUUCUUACCAAUUCUUACCUUGCUUGACAGGAGGGGUCGUCUGCCAACAAGUGGACAGCAAUGGACGAAGUGUAUCGGUGCUGCAGCACAAGACCUGUCAAGCUGUAGAGUAUGUGGAGCUAUAGGUGGGCUGAAACAAGGAACGAACUAGCACCACGUUAGUUAUAAAAGCGAGCUGAAUAAGCGUUCGACGAUGGUACUGUGCUGGUCCUAGGCUAGACCGUGCUAGAGACGCGAGCCUGGACACAAAGGAAAGCCACAGCACACCCCCAAAAACAAGGUGGAACAAACCUAGGACCAAACCGAGCUUUCACUUGAGCAAACCGUGCAUCUAUCUUACAUCAAGAUUAGCACUAUCUCCAAACAGACCAAACCGAGCUUUCACUUGAGCCCCUUGACCUAGGAGUAUCAUUGGGUGCGUCCAAAAUGAUUUCUUAUCCUAUGGUGCAUUAGGUGCAAACCGUGCACCUAUCUUGCACCGAAACUAACAGUGACUCUAAACGGACCGAAGUGAGAUUCCAUAUGACACAUGUCAUCUAGGAGUUCCAUCUAGUGCGUCCAAAUUGAUUUCUGAGCAUAUGGUAUGUUCCAUGCAAAUCGUGCACCUAUCUUGCAUCAAGAUUAGCACUAUCUCUAAACAGACUGAACCAACUGAUGCGAACCCGCUAGGGUUUUUGCCCGAUCUUUUGAUGAGAGACGGGGAUAACUCGAUUGGUGGAUGGAGAUGACGUUCACGGCCCGACUACAGCCCUCAAGACCGCGCCUUAGCAACCGAUACACCAGGUCUAAUAGCCGUCACGAUCUUGUGGAGCGCGACAACCAGCCCCUAGGGCUCCCGUCCUGCAAGCAAUCGAAGAACUAGCAAGAACGAGGAAACAAGCACUGAAUUUGCAAGAUGAAUUGAAGAUUUCAAACUGAAUCGUAAUCAACAAUGGGGUUCCGAAGACAAGGAGACGGGCGGCUGAUCCUGCACGCGCGCCUACAAGCAAGUAGCGAAGGCUAAACUUGAUCUAAACAAAAACCCAACAACCAUGGCGACUCUAGAGGGAUAUAAGUAGAUGGAUUGAUGACCAAAGAGGUGUUGGGGUCGUCCUCCAACCCUAGGACGCGUCCCUAAUAGACCCAACUUGAUACAUGGGCCAUCAGUCCAAAAUGAGGUGACGCAGCACCCUGGACAGCAAGACCUAUCGAUGGUAAUUGGAUCAUUGCCGCUGCUGCCAAACAGUUAUUGACGUGGGACUUGAUUCAUAUGAAAGUAGACUUGAUAAGCUUUCCAACAAGUCCUGAAGCGCCUGAAUCCGAAUCCGUAUGCAACCGUGGUAACGGUCACAAGUUGGCGCUUUGCUGCUGUCCGAAUCCAGUGAGCGUGAGUCCUUCUCCCUUUCGGUCUUCUCCUUGGUUCCUAAUCAAAACAAGAGUGCACGCAUUUCCAUUGUCUAAACAAGAUGGCCACGAGCUUAUCAAGGAACUCACUUGAUUAUUAAGUUGACGAACACGAGCACGAGUAAGAGGACCAGCUAUAGGUUGUGUCGGAGAGGAUGUAUCGCUGGUGUUGAUGUCCUCAUCACCAAGCCUCCACUUGAGCCUCUUCACCUAGGAGUACCAACAGGUGCUUCCAAAAUGGAUUCUUAGACUUUGGUGCAUUAGGCUGAAACCGUUCACAUAUCUUGCACCGAAACUAAUAUUGUCUGUAAGCACACCAAAGCGAGAUUCCAUAUGACACAAGCCAUCAAGGAGUUCUAUCGGGUGUGUCCAAAUUAAUUUCUAAGCAUAUGGUACGUUCCAUGCAGACCGUGCAUCUAUCUUGCAUCAAGAUUAGCACUAUCUCCAAAUAGACCAAACCGAGCUUUCACUUGAGCCUUUUACCUAGGAGUACCAUCGGGUGCGUCCAAAAUGGUUUCUUAGCCUAUGCUAAAUUAUGUGCAAACCUUGUACCUAUCUUGCAUCGAAACUAACACUAUCUCCGAAUAGACCGAAGCAAGAUUUCGUAUGACACACGUCAUCUAGGAGUUCCAUCAUGUGCGUCCAGAUUGAUUUGCAUGCAUUUGGUAUGUUCCAUGCAAACUGUGCACCUAUCUUGUAUCAAGAUUAGCACUAUCUCCAAACAGACCGAACUGAGCUUCCACUUGAGCCUCUUCAUCUAAGAGUAUAAACAGGUGCGUCAAAAAUGGUUUCUUAGAGUAUGAAGCAAUAGGCACAAACUAUGCACCUAUCUUGCACCGAAACUAACAUUGUCUCCAAACAGACCGAAGCGAGAUUCCAUAUGACACACGUCAUCUAGGAGUUCCAUUGGGUGCGUCCAAAUUGAUUUCUUAACAUAUGGUACGUUCCAUGCAAACUGUGCAACUAUCUUUCAUCAUGAUUAGUACUAUAUCCGAACAGACCAAAUCGAGCCUCCACUUGAUCCUCUUCAACUAAGAGUACCAUCGGGUGCGUAUAAAAUGGUUUCCUAGCAUAUAGUGCAUUUGGAGUAAACCGUGCACAUAUCUUGUACCAAAACUAACAUAAUCUCUAAAUGAACCGAAGCAAGAUUCCAUAUGACACACAUCAUCAAGGAGUUAUAUCAGGUGUGUCCUAAUUGAUUUCUGACGAUAUCGUAUGUUCCAUACAAACCGUGCAUCUAUCUUGCAUCAAGAUUAGCACUAUCUCCAAACAGACCAAACUGAGCUUUCACUAGAGCCCCUUGACCUAGGAGUACCAUCGGUUGCGUCCAAAAUGGUUUCUUAUCCUAUGGUGCAUUAGGUGCAAACCGUGCACCUAUCUUGCACCGAAACUAACACUGUCUCUAAACAAACCGAAGUGAGAUUCCAUAUGACACAUGUCAUCUAGGAGUUCCAUCUGGUGCAUCCAAAUUGAUUUCUGAGUAUAUGGUAUGUUCCAUGCAAAUCGUGCACCUAUCUUGCAUCAAGAUUAGCACUAUCUCUAAACAGACCAAACCGAGCCUCCACUUGAGCCUCUUCACCUAGGAUUACCAACAGGUGCUUCCAAAAUGGUUUCUUAGUCUUUGGUGCAUUAGGCGCAAACCGUGCACAUAUCUUGCACCGAAACUAACACUGAUUCUAAACUGACCAAAGCGAGAUUCCAUAUGACACACAUCAUCAAGGACGGGUGCAUCCAAAUUGAUUUUCAAGCAUAUGGUAUGUUCCAUGCAAACUGUGCACCUAUCUUCUAUCAAGAUUAGCACUAUCUCCAAACAGACCGAUCCAAGCUUCCACUUGAGCCUCUCCAUUUUGGAGUACAAACAUGUGCAUCAAAAAUGGUUUCUUAGACUAUAGUGCAUUAGGCACAAACUAUGCACCUGUCUUGCACCGAAACUAACACUGUCUCUAAACAGACUGAAGCGAGAUUCCAUAUGACACACGUCAUCUAGGAGUUCCAUUGGGUGCGUCCAAAUUGAUUUCUUAACAUAUAGCACGUUCCAUGCAAAUUGUGCAACUAUCUUGCAUCAAGAUUAACACUAUCUCUAAACAGACCGAACCGAGCCUCCACUUGAGCCUCUUCACCUAGGAGUACCAACAGGUGCUUCCAAAAUGGUUUCUUAGACUUUGGUGCAUUAGGCGCAAACCGUGCACAUAUCUUCUACCAAAACUAAUACUGUCUCUAAGCACACCAAAGCGAGAUUCCAUAUGACACACAUAUUCAAGGAGUUCUAUCAGGUGUGUCCAAAUUAUUUUCUAAGCAUAUGGUACGUUUCAUGCAGACCGUGCAUCUAUCUUGCAUCAAGAUUAGCACUAUCUCCAAAUAGACCAAACUGAGCUUUCACUUGAGCCUUUUACCUAGGAGUACCAUCGGGUGCGUCCAAAAUGGUUUCUUAGCCUAUGCUACAUUAUGUGCAAACCUUGCACCUAUCUUGCACCAAAACUAUCACUGUCUCCAAAUAGACCGAAGCAAGAUUUCGUAUGACACACGUCAUCAAAGAGUUCCAUCAUGUGCGUCGAGAUUAUUUUCCAAGCAUUUGGUAUGCUCCAUGCAAACCGUGCACAUAUCUUGCAUCAAGAUUAGCACUAUCUCCAAACAGACCGAACCGAGCCUCCACUUGAGCCUCUUCACCUAGGAGUACCAACAGGUGCUUCCAAAAUGGUUUCUUAGUCUUUGGUGCAUUAGGCGCAAACCGUGCACCGAAACUAACACUGUUUCUAAACUGACCAAAGCGAGAUUCCAUAUGACACACAUCAUCAAGGAUGGGUGCAUACAAAUUGAUUUCCAAGCAUAUGGUAUGUUCCAUGCAAACCUUGGAUGUAUUUCGCAUCAAGAUUGGCACUAUCUCCAAACAGACCGAACCGAGCUUCCACUUGAGCCUCUUCAUCUAGGAGUACAAACAAGUGCAUCAAAAAUGGUUUCUUAGACUAUGGUGCAUUAGGCACAAACUAUGCACCUAUCUUGCACCGAAACUAACAUUGUCUCCAAACAAACCGAAGCGAGAUUCCAUAUGACACACGUCAUCUAUUAGUUCCGUUGGGUGCUUCCAAAUUGAUUUCUUAACAUAUGGUACGUUCCAUGCAAACUUUGCAACUAUCUCGCAUCAAGAUUAGCACUAUAUACAAAGAGACCAAAUCGAGCCUCCACUUGAGCCUCUUCAACUAUGAGUACCAUCGGAUGUGUCUAAAAUGGUUUCUUAGCCUAUGAUGCAUUAGGUGUAAAUCGUGCACAUAUCUUCUACCAAAACUAACACUGUCUCUAAACGAACCGAAGUAAGAUUCUAUAUGACACACAUCAUCAAGUAGUUAUAUCAGGUGCGUCCAAAUUGAUUUCUAAGCAUAUCGUAUGUUCCAUGCAAAUUGUGCAACUGUCUUACAUCAAGAUUAGAACUAUCUCUAAACAGACCAAACCGAGCCUCCACUUGAGCCUCUUCACCUAGGAGUACCAACAGGUGCUUCCAAAAUGGUUUCCUAGACUUUGGUGCAUUAGGCGCAAACCGUGCACAUAUCUUGCACCGAAACUAACACUGUCUCUAAACACACCGAAGGGAGAUUCCAUAUGACACACGUCAUCAAGGAGUUCUAUCGGGUGUGUCCAAAUUAAUUUCUAAGCAUAUGGUACGUUCCAUGCAGACCAUGCAUCUAUCUUGCAUCAAGAUUAGCACUAUCUCGAAAUAGACCAAAUCAAGCUUUCACUUGAUCCAUUUACCUAUGGGUACUAUCAGGAGCGUCCAAAAUGGUUUCUUAGGCUAUACUGCAUGAUGUGCAAACCUUGCACCUAUCUUGAACCAAAACUAACACUGUCUCCAAACAGAACGAAGCAAGAUUUCGUAUGACACGUCAUCUAGGAGUGCCAUCAUGUGCGUCUAGAUUGAUUUCCAAGCAUUUGGUAUGUUCCAUGCAAACCGUGCACCUAUCUUGCAUCAAGAUUAGCACUAUCUCCAAACAGACCGAACCGAGCUUCCACUUCAGCCUCUUCAUCUAGGAGUACAAACAGGUGCGUCAAAAAUGGUUUCUUAGACUAUGGUGCAUUAUGUGCAAACUGUGCACCUAUCUUGCACCGAAACUAACAAUGUCUCCAAAUGAACUGAAGCGAGAUUCCAUAUGACACACGUCAUCAAGGAGUUCCAUCGGGUGCAUCCACAUUGAUUUCCAAGCAUAUGGUAUGUUCCAUGCAAACCAUGCACCUACCUUGCAUGAGGAUUAGCACUAUCUCCAAACUGACCGAAUCAAGCUUCCACUUCAGCCUCUUCACCCAGGAGUACCAAAUAGUGCGUCCAAAAUGGUUUCUUAGACUAUGGUGCAUUAGGCACAAACUGUGCACCUAUCUUGCACUAAAACUUACAAUGUCUACAAACGGACCGAAUCAAGAUUUCAUAUGACACACGUCAUCUAGGAGUUCCAUUGGGUGCGUCCAAAUUGAUUUCUAAGCAUAUGCUAUGUUCCUUGCAAAUCAUGCACCUAUCUUGCAUCAAGAUUAGCACUAUCUCCAAACAGAUCAAACAGAGCUUCCACUUGAGCCUCUUCAUCUAGGAGUACAAACAGGUGUGUCAAAAAUGGUUUCUUAGACUAUGGUGCAUUAGGCACAAACUAUGCACCUAUCUUGCACCAAAACUAACAUUGUCUCCAAACAGACCGAAGCGAGAUUCUAUAUGACACACAUCAUCUAGGAGUUCCAUUGGGUGCGUCCAAAUUGAUUUCUGGUAUGUUCCAUGCAAACUAUGCAACUAUCUUGCAUCAAGAUUAGCACUAUAUCCAAAUAGACCAAAUUGAGCCUCCAAUUGAGCCUCUUCAACUACGAUUACCAUCGGGUGCGUCUAAAAUGGUUUCUUAGCCUAUGGUGCAUUAGGCGUAAACCGUGCACAUAUCUUCUACCAAAAGUAACACUGUCUCUAAACGAACCGAAGCAAGAUUCCAUAUGACACACAUCAUCAAGGAGUUAUAUUAGGUGCGUCCUAAUUGACUUCUGAGCAUAUCGUAUGUUCCAUGCAAACCGUGUAUCUAUCUUGCAUCAAGAUUAGCACUAUCUCUAAACAGACCAAACCGAGCUUUCACUUGAGCCCCUUCACCUAGGAGUACCAACAAGUGCGUCCAAAAUGGUUUCUUACACUAUGGUGCAUUAGGUGCAAACUGUGCACCUAUCUUGCACCGAAACUAACAAUGUCUUCAAAUGGACUGAAGCGAGAUUCCAUAUGACACAUGUCAUCAAGGAGUUCCAUCGGGUGCAUCCAAAUUGAUUUCUUAACAUAUGGCACGUUCCAUGCAAACUGUGCAACUAUCUUGCAUCAAGAUUAGCACUAUAUUCGAACAGACCAAAUAGAGCCUCCACUUGAGCCUCUUCAACUACGAUUACCAUCGGGUGCAUCUAAAAUGGUUUCUUAGCCUAUGGUGCAUUAGGCGUAAACCAUGCACAUAUCUUCUACCAAUACUAACACUGUCUCUAAAUGAAUCGAAGCAAGAUUCCAUAUGACACAUCAUCGAGGAGUUAUAUCAGGUGCGUCCUGAUUGAUUUCUGAGCAUACCGUAUGUUCCAUCCAAACCGUGCAUCUAUCUUGCAUCAAUAUUAGCACUAUCUCAAAACAGACAAACCGAGCUUUCACUUGAGCCCCUUGACCUAGGAGUACCAUCCGGUGCAUCCAAAUUGGUUUCUUAUCCUAUGGUGCAUUUGGUGCAAACUGUGCACCUAUCUUGCACCGAAACUAACACUAUCUUUAGUGAGAUUCGAUAUGGACCGAAGUGAGAUUCGAUAUGACACAUGUCAUCUAGGAGUUCCAUCUAGUGCGUCCAAAUUGAUUUCUGAGCAUAUGGUUAUGUUCCAUGCAAAUCGUGCACCUAUCUUGCAUCAAGAUUAGCACUAUCUCUAAACAGACCGAACUGAGCCUCCACUUGAGCCUCUUCACCUAGGAGUACCAACAGGUGCUUCCAAAAUGGUUUCUUAGACUUUGGUGCAUUAGGCGCAAACCGUGCACAUAUCUUGCACCGAAACUAAUAAUUUCUCUAAGCACACCAAAGCGAGAUUCCAUAUGACACACGUCAUCAAGGAGUUCUAUCGAGUGUGUCCAAAUUAAUUUCUAAGCAUAUGGUACGUUCCAUGCAGACCGUGCAUCUAUCUUGCAUCAAUAUUAGCACUAUCUCCAAAUAGACCAAACUGAGCUUUCACUUGAGCCUUUUACCUAGGAGUACCAUCGGAUGAGUCCAAAAUGCUAUCUUAGCCUAUUCUGCAUUAUGUGCAAACCUUGCAUCUAUCUUGCACCGAAACUAACACUGUCUCCAAACAGACCGAAGCAAGAUUUCGUAUGACACACGUCAUCAAGGAGUUCCAUCAUGUGCGUCCAGAUGCAACUAUCUUGCAUCAAGAUUACCACUAUAUCCGAACAGACCAAAUAGAGCCUCCACUUGAGCCUCUUCAACUACGAGUACCAUCGGGUACAUCUAAAAUGGUUUCUUAGCCUAUGGUGCAUUAGGCGUAAACCAUGCACAUAUCUUCUACCAAUACUAACACUGUCUCUAAAUGAAUCGAAGCAAGAUUCCAUAUGACACAUCAUCAAGGAGUUAUAUCAGGUGCGUCCUGAUUGAUUUCUGAGCAUACCGUAUGUUCCAUCCAAACUGUGCAUCUAUCUUGCAUCAAGAUGAGCACUAUCUCAAAACAGACCAAACUGAGCUUUCACUUGAGCCCCUUGACCUAGGAGUACCAUCGGGUGCAUCAAAAAUGGUUUCUUAUCCUAUGGUUCAUUAGGUGCAAACCGUGCACCUAUCUUGCAUGGAAAGUAACACUGUCUCUAAACGAACCGAAGUGAGAUUCCAUAUGACACAUGUCAUCUAGGAGUUCCAUCUGGUGCGUCCAAAUUGAUUUCUGAGCAUAUGGUAUGUUCCACGCAAAUCGUGCACCUAUCUUGCAUCAAGAUUAGCACUAUCUCUAAACAGACCAAACCGAGCCUCCACUUGAGCCCCUUCACCUAGAGUACCAACAGAUGCUUCCAAAAUGGUUUAUUAGACUUUGGUGCAUUAGCCAUAAACCGUGCACAUAUCUUGCACCGAAACUAAUACUGUUUGUAAGCACACCAAAGCGAGAUUCCAUAUGACACACGUCAUCAAGGAGUUCUAUCGGGUGUGUCCAAAAUAAUUUCAAAGCAUAUGGUACGUUCUAUGCAAACCAUGCAUGUAUCUUGCAUCAAGAUUAGCACUAUCUCCAAAUACACCAAACCGAGCUUUCACUUGAGCCUUUUACCUAGGAGUACCAUCGAGUGAGUCCAAAAUGGUUUCUUAGCCUAUGCUGCAUUAUGUGCAAACCUUGCACCGAAACUAACACUGUCUCCAAACAGACCGAAGCAAGCUUUCGUACGACACACGUCAUCUAGGAGUUCCAUCAUGUGUGUCCAGAUUGUUUUCCAAGCAUUUGGUAUGUUCCAUGCAAACCGUGCACUUAUCUUGCAUCAAGAUUAGCACUAUCUCCAAACAGAUCGAACCGAGCCUCCACUUGAGCCUCUUCACCUAGGAGCCUCCACUUGAGCCUCUUCACCUAGGAGUACCCAAAGGUUAUGUCGGACGGAAGCACUGCCUCGGUGCCGUAAACCAUGAAGUAGGGUGACACGCCCGUGUUGUGACUAGCUUGUGUUCGAAUGCCGUGAAGGCAUGCUUCGUAUUCGGCGACGUUGUUCGAUGCCGGAAAGAGAAUCCUAAGGACGUAGCGUAGUUUGUCCUUGUUGGGCGUCACGAAGAGUAUUCUAGCGCCAGCACCAUUGAUGUUUAAAGACUCAUCGAAGAACAUUGACCAGUGGUCGGAAGUAUCGGAGAGGGGAGGCUCGUUGAGGUCCGUCCAUUCUGCGAUGAUAUCGACCAAGGCUUGGGACUUGACGGUAGUGCGGCUCUGGAAAUCCAAGGAGAAUGGGCAUAGUUCCAUUGCCAUUUUACAAUUCUGCCAUUCGCGUCCUUAUUGCGCAGAAUGUCCCCUAGGGGGAAACUAGUGGUUACCAGGACCGGAUGACCAUCGAAGUAAUGCUUCAGCUUCCUUGAAGUUAUUAAGAUGGUGUAGAUGAGCUUUUGUAUCUGAGGGUACCUGGUCUUGGACUCGUUUAAGACUUCGCUUAUGAAGUAAACUGGUCUCUGAACUUUGUAUACAUGGCCUGGCUCAUCCCGCUCGACCACCAUUGCCGUGGAGACAACCCUGUCGGUUGCUGCUAUGUAAAGGAGCAGGUCCUCGUUGGGUUGAGGCGCUGUGAGAACGGGUGGCGAAGUGAGAAAGGUUUUGAGCUGGGUGAACGCAGCGUCGGCUUCCUCUGUCUAAGAGAAUUUUUCUGACGCCUUUAGGAGCUUGAAGAAGGGGAGGCCUUUUUCUCCCAGUCUAGAAAUAAAACGGCUGAGAGCAGCCAUACAUCCGGUGAGCUUUUGAAUAUCCUUGACGUUCUUGGGUGGUCGCAUAUUGAGCACUGCUUUUACUUUUGAGGGAUUCGGCCGUAUGCCGUCGCGGCUGACGACGUUGCCGAGCAGUAGACCGGAGGGGACCCCGAAGAUACAUUUUUUGGGGUUAAGCUUCCACUUGUAUUUAUUUAGUGCCUUGAAAGUUUGGUCUAGGUUGUCGAUUAGAGUGCUUGCGUCCCUUGUUUUGACGACGACGUCGUCUACAUAAGCCUCGACGUGGUCAUCACGAAUCUCGUCAUGGAGGCAUUGCUGAAUAGCCCGUUGAUAAGUGGCUCUAGCAUUUUUGAGCCUAAAGGACAUGGUCAUGUAGCAAUACGCGCCGAAAGGAGUGAUAAAAGAUGUUUUGAUUUGGUCAUCUUCCUUUAGCGAGAUCUGGUGAUAACCAGAGUAGCAGUCUGGAAAGGAGAGGAGUUCGCAUCCGGCCGUUGAGUCGACCACCUCGUCGAUGCGAGGGAGACCAAAAGGAUCUUUAGGACAGUGCUUAUUGAGAUCAGUGUAAUCAACGCACAUUCUCCAUUCAUUAUUCUUUUUGCGUACAAGAACCAGAUUGGCGAGCCAAUCGGGAUGAUACACUUCUUUAAUGAAUCCGGCUGGUAGAAGCCGUGUUAUUUCUGUCCUAAUAGCCUCCUUUUCGUCACGAGCGAACCACCGUAGUUUCUGCUUGAUAGGUCCUGCGGUCUUCGAGAUGUUUAAGGAGUGCUCGAUCAGGUUUCGCGGCACGCCGGGCAUGUCCGUGGGUUUCCACGCAAAAACACUUCGAGAAGUUUAAGGAGUGCUCGAUCAGGUUUCGCGGGACACCGGGCAUGUCCGCGGGUUUCCACGCAAAAACACUUACGUUGUCCCUGAGAAACCUGACGAGCGCGUCUUCCUAUUUGGGAUCCAAAUCGGCCCCGAUAAGGGCCGUCUUCUCGGGGCUACCGUCGACCAGCUGUACUUCCUUGUGCUCUUUGGAUUUUGAAUUUUUCCUUGGAGUCUCCUGCUCGGGUAGUCGAAUCUGAUCGGGUGGAAGCUGCGUGGCUUGGGCUAUGAUUUCUGCCAUGCGGAUUGAGAGGUCAAGUGCCUCGGUGAUCUUGAAACUUUCCUCCUCGCAAGUGUAUGCGAUAUAAACAUUGCCUCUGACAGUUAGGACGCCUUUCUCUGUUGGCAAUUUAAGGACCAGGUAUGAGUAGUGCGGAACGGCCAUGAACUUUGUCAGCGAUGGUCGGCCCAAGAUUGCAUGGUAAGUUCCGUCAAAGUCGGCGACCAUGAUGUUGACGAACUCUGUUCGAAAGUGGUCGGGUGUUCCGAACUGGACAGACAUCGUUAUCUGUCCGAGGGGUGCUGAACUUUGACCCGGCAGGACUCCCCAGAAUUGUGUGUCAUAUGAUUUUAGUUGUGCUGGGGUAAUCUUGAGAGCAGGCAAGCUGUUGCGAAAGAGGAUGUCAAUGGAGAUUCCCCCGUCGACGAGCACGCGCUCGAAUCUGAUGUUGUUGAUGCAAGGAUCUAGGAUUAGAGGGAAACGUCUUGGUUCCGGGAUGGCGGCCCAUUGAUCCUUGCUGCUGAAGGAGAUCUCCCUGUGCGACCAGGGAGGAAAUUUCGGAUCGGCGAUCAAACCGUCUGUGUUGUCCACGUUGAGGCAGGCUCUCCUUAGGAGCUUUCUUUCUCGCUUAGACUCAAUGGAAACUUUGCCUCCGAAGAUAGAGUGGACCACGUCGGUGGGAUUGACAUACUGGUGUCGUGGGUCCCUAUCCUGGUCCUCGUCUUCGUCUUCGUGAUCGCGCCCGUCCUGCUUCCCGUUUUUCUUAGCGGAAUCGUCUUGAGCAGCCCGCCACGUGUAGAUGUUUUUGAGUACACGACAUUCUUCCAUCGUGUGAUUAGACUUGGGGUGCAGUUGGCACGGUCCCUUCAAUGUCUUGUUGUAAUCUUCCUGGUAGUCCCGCCGCCCGUUGGGGCGCUUGACCGUAUUCACCUCGUGGUCGUGGUCGCGAGGGCGCUUGCCCCUGAAGUCAUCAUGAUUGUCAUGCCGCCUAUCCCAACCUUCUCUAUGGUCGCGAUUGUUAGGGCGAUGAUGGUUCCUGUUAUCAAAACGACCACGACUGUCGUCCCGUCGAGGAGGCUAGUGGGGACCUCUCGCAUCCUCUCGGAUGAGCUUUUCUGCGUCAUCGGCGUCGGCGUAGUUUUUUGCCGUGGCAAGGAGCUCAGCCAUCAUGGUCGGCCUUUUGCGCAGUAGCUUGUUCCUUAGUGCUUCGUGGAAGCGUAGCCCUUUGAUGAAGGCGGAUAUGGCCUCGUCGUGAGAAUUUUUCGGGAUUUUCAGGCGCAUAUCCGAGAAUCGUCGGAUGUAAUCGCGCAAAGGCUCGUUUUUCCUGUCCCUUAUUCCCUCAAGGUCGUAUUUGUUCCCGGGCUGCUCGCAGGUAGCGAUGAAAUUGUCGAUAAGCGCUUGGCGCAGUUCUUCCUAGGAGUCGAAAGAGUCCUCGGGCAGGCCCAGGAGCCAUUGAUGACCAGCCUGAUCGAGGACGACUGGGAAGUAGUUGGCCAUGACGUGCUCAUCUCCUGCUGCUGAACGGACUACAAUCUCAUAGAGAGUGAUCCAGUUCUCUGGGUUUUCCUUGCCGUCGUAUUUUUGAGCUUCUCGAGUUUGAAGUUGCGGGGCCAUACGACUUGGCGAAGGUGUGAGGAAAACUGUCUCAGGCCGGGGGGGACCGUGCGCGGCAUCGUACUCAAUGCGCCGUAGGUUUUCGUGCACCGCUCUUUCCAUGGCGCGCCUGUUGAUGCGGUCCCGGGUGUCCUUCGGAGGGAUGUUGUAUCGUAGAUCCCUGUCCUAGUUUACUUCCUUACCAUGCCCACGAUUCUGCUCGCGGUAGCCGUCGGCGUCCCGUCCACCGUUGCCACGCCGUGAAUCCUUCCGACGAUUAUUGGGGGAGCGACUACGGUGGUGCUCGCUGGGUUGUGGUGAGGUCCGGCUGCGAUGAGUCUGGUCGGAGGAGACCUCUGUGUAGGAGAUAGCUUGGACCCUUUUGAGUAAGGUGGUUGUCUAUCCCAUCGUGGCGAUCAGAUGUGUGCGCACGCUGGAUCGGACACCCUGGCACUCGGGAGUAUCACGGAGCCGGUCUAGGUUUGCCAUAGCAACAGCCACGUUAGCACUUGGCGUUUUGUAAACUUGCUGAUCUCCGACCAUGUCGAAAGCGUCACUGAGGUUAUGCGGAGGGAGUUGCCGUUCCUCAUCCGCGCGUCGCCGAGCACGGUCGGCAUUGCGCUGUUCGCGGAGCUGCUUCUGCUCGUCUGACUCUCCAUCGACAACCGGUUCGUCGUUGCUGACAUUGAAGACGAGAUCUCCCCGCCGGGGCGGAAAGACCAGGAAGCGAGAGAAACCUAGAGGGUACGGUGGUAAAUCCAGGUCGUAAUCUUCGUCCUUAGAGUUUAUAACCUCGGUGGGGACGGAUCCAGUGCUGGAGUGUGUGCUGGAAGCCUGGUCGUUUGGUAGUUCUUGGAUCGUCACCAUGUUGACGUAGUGACGAGCUGGUCGACUGCUCCGUUUUGGCAACCAACCCGCCCUGUUGAAAAGGGAUUGGAUGUACCGUGAGUAGUAAACGGCUGAGUUGUCUAGCCCGUAAGGAGGACUCUGGUCUGAGUCUGCCUUGAGUUCGACGGACCGCCCCAUGGGGGUGGAAGUUAUUGUCAGAGAUAUCCCCAGCCGUUCGUGUGUGACGACACGAGUUUGCCGGUAGGAGUCGAAAAAGUCCGUCGGCGCGGCUCGAUCAGAUUGGCGUGAGAUCCCAUCUACUAGUCGGGAAGCUUCGAGGAGCCUGAGAUCAGCGCGAUCAAGGGCUCGAAAAAGAUCUGAGUUGUCGACCUUCUUUUUUCCCUUGUAACGAGGGAGUGGAGGUCGAGUGCUCGGCGCCGGCGUGAUCGGAGUCGACGUCGCCGUCGUCCCAGAUCGGAUCUGGGUUUCUUCCAAAGUCGUGGUCGUGAGGCCACCGCCCUGAGUCGUCCACGUGAUCUGGCCCCGACAGUGAACGUGAGACCUUCAGGUACGGCCACGAAAGCUGGAACGAUGACCAUCUUGUUCGUCGGGAGAGCUGUACGCACACCCCCUACCUGGCGCGCCACUAUCGACAAAAGCUAGUCGGCAGUCUACCUUGGGGUAUACCCACGGUAGUAGUUUAUUGGUAGACGGUGCGCAAGCUACGAACUCGAUGGUGACACAAGACACAGACAAGGUUUUUAUCUAGGUUCGGCCGCCGUGUGGGCGUAAUACCUACGUCCUGCGUUUGAUUGUAUUGGAUUGAGAGAAUAAUGUGUCCUAGGGGGGUCCCUUGCCCCUCCUCAUAUAGUCCGGAGGGCAGGGUUACAGAUCUGGAAACUAAUCCUAGUCGGUUACAACUACCAUAGAUAGUUUGAUAUCAAUCCCUAUUCUAACCGACCAGGAUCCGGCUUGAUCUCCACGUCUUGUUUCCUUGCGCGAAACUCCAAGCAGUUGGAUCAAGCCUCGGACCGUCUUUGUGAUGGCCCAAGCCUCCUAGCCCAAGUCUAGCCGUAAGGGUAUAGGGGUUUAUACCCCCACAAAAAUGGUUUCUUAGUCUUUGGUGCAUUAGGCGCAAACCGUGCACAUAUCUUGCACCAAAACUAAUACUGUCUCUAAGCACACCAAAGCGAGAUUCCAUAUGACACACAUCAACAAGGAUUUCUAUCGGGUGUGUCCAAAUUAAUUUCUAAGCAUAUGGUACGUUCCAUGCAGAUCGUGCAUCUAGCUUGCAUCAAGAUUAGCACUAUCUCCAAAUAGACCAAACCGAGCUUUCACUUGAGCCUUUUACCUAGGAGUACCAUCGGGUGCUUCCAAAAUGGUUUCUUAGCCUAUGUUGCAUUAUGUGCAAACCUUGCACCUAUCUUGCACCGAAACUAACACUGUCUCCAAACAGACCGAAGAAAGAUUUCGUAUGACACACGUCAUCUAGGAGUUCCAUCAUGUGCGUCGAGAUUGAUUUCCAAGCAUUUGGUAUGUUCCAUGCAAACCGUGCACCUAUCUUGCAUCAAGAUUAGCACUAUCUCCAAACAGACCGAACCGAGCUUCCACUUGAGCCUCUUCAUAUAGGAGUACAAAUAGGUGCAUCAAAAAUGGUUUCUUAGACUAUGGUGCAUUAGGUGCAAACUGUGCACCUAUCUUGCACCGAAACUAACAUUGUCUGCAAACGGACCGAAGCGAGAUUCCAUAUGACACGCGUCAUCUAGGAGUUCCAUUGGGUACGUCCAAAUUGAUUUCAUAACACAUGGUACGUUCCAUGCAAACUGUGCAACUAUCUUGCAUCAAGAUUAGCACUUUAUCCGAACAGACCAAAUCGAGCCUCCACUUGAGCCUCUUCAACUACGAGUACCAUCGGGUGCGUCUAAAAUGGUUUCUUAGCCUAUGGUGCAUUAGGCGUAAACCGUGCACAUAUCUUCUACCAAAACUAACAGUCUCUAAACGAAACGAAGCAAGAUUCCAUAUGACACACAUCAUCAAGGAUAUCAGGUGAGUCCUAAUUGAUUUCUGAGCAUACCGUAUGUUCCAUGCAAACCGUGCAUCUAUCUUGCAUCAAGAUUAGCACUGUCUCCAAAUAGACUAAACCGAGCUUUCACUUGAGCCCCUUGACCUAGGGGUACCAUCGGGUGCGUCCAAAAUGGUUUCUUAUCCUAUGGUGCAUUAGGUGCAAACUGUGCACCUAUCUUCCACCGAAACUAACACUAUCUUUAAACGGACCGAAGUGAGAUUCCAUAUGACACUUGUCAUCUAGGAGUUCAAUCUGGUGCGUCCAAAUUGAUUUCUGAGCAUAUAGUUAUGUUCCAUGCAAAUCGUGCACCUAUCUUGCAUCAAGAUUAGCACUAUCUCUAAACAGACCGAACCUAGCCUCCACUUGAGCCUCUUCACCUAGGAGUACCAACAGGUGCUUCAAAAAUGGUUUCUUAGACUUUGGUGCAUUAGGCGCAAACCGUGCACAUAUCUUGCACCGAAACUAAUACUGUCUCUAAGCACACCAAAGCGAGAUUCCAUAUGACACACGUCAUCAACGAGUUCUAUCGGGUGUGUCCAAAUUAAUUUCUAAGCAUAUGGUACGUUCCAUGCAGACCGUGCAUCUAUCUUGCAUCAAUAUUAGCACUAUCUCCAAACAGACCAAACCGAGCUUUCAAUUAAGCCUUUUACCUAGGAGUACCAUCGGGUGCGUCCAAAAUGCUUUCUUAGCCUAUGCUGCAUUAUGUGCAAACCUUGCACCUAUCUUGCACCGAAACUAACACUGUCUCCAAACAGACCGAAGCAAGAUUUCAUAUGACACACGUCAUCAACGAGUUCCAUCAUGUGCGUCCAGAUUGAUUUCCAAGCAUUUGGUAUGUUCCAUGCAAACCGUGCACCUAUCUUGCAUUAAGAUUAGCACUAUCUCCAAACAGACUGAACCGAGCAUCCACUUGAGCCCCUUCACCUAGGAGUACCAACAAGUGCAUCCAAAAUGGUUUCUUAGACUAUGGUGCUUAGGUGCAAACUGUGCACCUAUCUUACACCGAAACUAACAAUGUCUCUAAAUGGACCAAAGCGAGAUUCCAUAUAACACACGUAAUCAAGGAGUUCCAUCGGGUGCAUCCAAAUUGAUUUCCAAGCAUAUGGUAUGUUCCAAGCAAACCAUGCACCAACCUUGCAUAAGGAUUAGGACUAUCUCCAAACGGACCAAACCAAGCUUCUACUUGAGCCUCUUCACCUAGGAGUACCAAAUAGUGCGUCCAAAAUGGUUUCCUAGACUAUGGUGCAUUAGGCGCAAACUGUGCAAAUAUCUUGCACUAAAACUUACAAUGUCCACAAACGGACCGAAGCAAGAUUCCAUAUGACACACGUCAUCUAGGAGUUCCAUUGGGUGCGUUCAAAUUGAUUUCUAAGCAUAUGGUAUGUUCCAUGAAAAUCAUGCACCAAUCUUGCAUCAAGAUUAGCACAAUCUCUAAACAGACCAAACUGAGCCUCCACUUGAGCCUCUUCACCUAGGAGUACAAAAUAGUGCGUCCAAAAUGGUUUCCUAGACUAUGGUGCAUUAGGCGCAAACUGUGCACCUAUCUUGCACUAAAACUUACAAUGUCUACAAACGGACCGAAGCAAGAUUCCAUAUGACACACAUCAUCUAGGAGUUCCAUUGGGUGCGUCCAAAUUGAUUUCUAAGCAUUUGGUAUGUUCCAUGCAAAUCAUGCACCAAUCUUGCAUCAAGAUUAGCACUAUCUCUAAACAGACCGAACCGAGCCUCCACUUGAGCCUCUUCACCUAGGAGUACCAACAGGUGCUUCCAAAAUGGUUUCUUAGACUUUGGUGCAUUGGGCGCAAACCAUGCACAUAUCUUGCACCGAAAUUAAUAUUGUCUCUAAGCACACCAAAGCGAGAUUCCAUAUGACACACGUCAUCAAGGAGUUCUAUCGGGUGUGUCCAAAUUAAUUUUUAAGCAUAUGGUACGUUCCAUGCAGACCGUGCAUCUAUCUUGCAUCAAUAUUAGCACUAUCUCCAAAUAGACCAAACCGAGCUUUCACUUGAGCCUUUUACCUACGAGUACCAUCAGGUGCGUCCAAAAUAGUUUCUUAACCUAUCCUGCAUUAUGUGCAAACCUUGCACCUAUCUUGCACCCAAACUAACACUGUCUCCAAACAAACCGAAGCAAGAUUUUGUAUGACACACGUCAUCUAGGAGUUCCAUCAUGGCGUCCAGAUUGAUUUCCAAGCAUUUGGUACGUUCCAUGCAAACCGUGCACAAAUCAUGCAUCAAGAAUAGCACUAUCUCCAAACAGACCGAACCGAGCAUCCACUUGAGCCCGUUCACGUCCAAAAUGGUUUCUUAGACUAUGGUGCAUUAGGUGCAAAUUGUGCACCUAUCUUGCACCGAAACUAACAAUGUCUCCAAAUGGACCGAAGCGAGAUUCCAAAUGACACAUGUCAUCAAGGAGUUCCAUCGGGUGCAUCCAAAUUGAUUUCCAAGCAUAUGGUAUGUUCCAUGCAAACCAUGCACCUACCUUGCAUAAGGAUUAGCACUAUCUCCAAACUGACCGAACCAAGCUUCCACUUGAGCCUCUUCACCCAGGAGUACAAGAUAGUGUGUCCAAAAUGGUUUCUUAGACUAUGGUGCAUUAGGUGCAAACUGUGCACCUAUCUUGCACCGAAACUAACACUAUUUCUAAACAGACCAAAGCAAGAUUCCAUAUGACACACGUCAUCAAGGAGUUCCAUCGGGUGCAUCCAAAUUGAUUUCCAAGCAUAUGGUAUGUUCCAUGCAAACCGUGCAUCUAUCUUGCAUCAAGACUAGCAUUAUCUCCAAACAGACCGAACCGAGCUUCCACUUGAGCCUCUUAAUCUAGGAGUACAAACAGGUGCAUCAAAAAUGGUUUGUUAGACUAGGGUGCAUUAGGCACAAACUAUGCACCUAUCUUGCACCGAAACUAACAUUAUCACCAAACAGACUGAAGCAAGAUUCUAUAUGACACACGUCAUCUAGGAGUUCCAUUGGGUGCGUCCAAAUUGAUUUCUUUACAUAUGGUACGUUGCAUGCAAACUAUGCAACUAUCUUGGAUCAAGAUUAGCACUAUAUCUGAACAGGCCAAACGAGCCUCCACUUGAGCCUCUUCAACUAUGAGUACCAUCGGGUGCAUCUAAAAUAGUUUCUUAGCCUAUGGUGCAUUAGGCGUAAACCGUGCACAUAUCUUCUACCAAAACUAAGACUGUCUCUAAACGAACCGAAACAAGAUUCCAUAUGACACACAUCAUCAAGGAGUUAUAUCAGGUGUGUCCUAAUUGAUUUCUGAGCAUAUAAUAUGUUCCAUGCAAACCGUGCAUCUAUCUUGCAUCAAGAUUUGCACUAUCUCCAAUGAGACUAAACCGAGCUUUCACUUGAGCCCCUUGACCUAGGAGUACCAUCGGGUGCAUCCAAAAUGGUUUCUUAUCCUAUGGUGCAUUAUGUGCAAACCAAUUACCUAUCUUGCACCAAAACUAUUAUUGUCUCUAAACUUACCGAAGUGAGAUUCCAUAUGACACAUGUCAUCUAGAAGUUCCAUCUGGUGCGUCCAAAUUGAUUUCUGAGUAUAUGGUAUGUUCCUUGCAAAUCGUGCACCUAUCUUGCAUCAAGAUGAGCACUAUCUCUAAACAGACCGAACCGAGCCUCAACUUGAGCCUCUUCACCUAGGAGUACCAACAGGUGCUUCCAAAAUGGUUUCUUAGACUUUGGUGCAUUAGGCGCAAACCGUGCACAUAUCUUGCACCGAAUCUAAUACUGUCUCUAAGCACACCAAAGCGAGAUUCCAUAUGACACACGUCAUCAAGGAGUUCUAUCGGGUGUGUCCAAAUUAAUUUCUACGCAUAUGGUACGUUCCAUGCAGACCGUGCAUCUAUGUUGCAUCAAGAUUAGCACUAUCUCCAAAUAGACCAAACCGAGCUUUCACUUGAGCCUUUUACCUAGGAGUACCAUCGGGUGCGUCCAAAAAGGUUUCUUUGCCUAUGCUGCAUUAUGUGCAAACCUUGCACCUAUCUUGCACUGAAACUAACACUGUCUCCAAACAGACCAAAGCAAGAUUUCGUAUGACACAGGUCAUCUAGGAGUUCCAUCAUGUGCGUCUGGAUUGAUUUCCAAGCAUUUGGCAUGUUUCAUGCAAACCGUGCACCUAUCUUGCAUUAAGAUUAGCACUAUCUCCAAACAGACCGAACCGAGCAUCCACUUGAGCCCCUUCACCUAGGAGUACCAACAAGUGCGUCCAAAAUGGUUUCUUAGACUAUGGUGCAUUAGGUGCAAACUCUGCACCUAUCUUGCAUAGAAACUAACAAUAUCUCUAAAUGGACCGUAGCGAGAUUCCAUAUGACACACGUCAUCAAGGAGUUCUAUCGGGUGUGUCCAAAUUAAUUUCUAAGCAUAUGGUAUGUUCCAUGAAGACCGUGCAUCUAUCAUGCAUCAAGAUUAGCACUAUCUCCAAACAGAUCAAACCGAGCUUCCACUUGUGCUUCUUCACCGAACUACCAGCAGGUGCUUCCAUAAUGGUUUCUUAGACUAUGGUGCAUUAGGCGCAAACCAUGCACUUAUCUUGCACCGAAACUAAUAUUGUCUCUAAGCACACCAAAGCAAGAUUCCAUAUGACACACAUCAUCAAGGAGUUCUAUCGGGUGUGUCCAAAUUAAUUUCUAAGCAUAUGGUACGUUCCAUGCAGACCGUGAGUCUAUCUUGCAUCAAGAUUAGCACUAUCUCCAAAUAGACCAAACUGAGUUUCACUUGAGCCUUUUACCUAGGAGUACCAUCGGGUGCGUCCAAAAUGAUUUCUUAGCCUAUGAUGCAUUAUGUGCAAACCUUGCACCUAUCUAGUACCGAAACUAACACUGUCUCCAAACAGAACGAAGCAAGAUUUUGUAUGACACACGACAACUAGGAGUUCCAUCAUGUGCGUCCAGAUUGAUUUGCAAGCAUUUGGUAUGUUCCAUGCAAACCGUGCACCUAUCUUGCAUCAAGAUUAGCACUAUCUCCAAACAAACCGAACCGAGCAUCCACUUGAGCCCCUUCACCUAGGAGUACCAACAAGUGCGUCCAAAAUGGUUUCUUAGACUAUGGUGCAUUAGGUGCAAACUGUGCACCUAUCUUGCACCGAAACUAAAAAUGUCUCCAAAUGGACCGAAGUGAGAUUCCAUAUGACACAUGUCAUCAAGGAGUUCCAUCGGGUGCAUCCAAAUUGAUUUCCAAGCAUAUGGUAUGUUCCAUGCAAACCAUGCACCUACCUUGCAUAAGGAUUAGCACUAUCUCCAAACUGACCGAACCAAGCUUCCACUUGAGCCUCUUCACCCAGGAGUACCAAAUAGUUCGUCCAAAAUGGUUUCUUAGACUAUGGCACAUUAGGCGCAAACUGUGCACCUAUCUUGCACUAAAACUUACAAUGUCUACAAACGGACCGAAGCAAGAUUCCAUAUGACACACGUCAUCUAGGAGUUCCAUUGGGUGCGUCCAAAUUGAUUUCUAAGCAUAUGGUAUGUUCCUUGCAAAUCAUUCACCUAUCUUGCAUCAAGAUUAGCACUAUCUCUAAACAGACCAAACUGAGCUUCCACUUGAGCCUCUUCACCGAAGUUCCAACAGGUGCUUCCAAAAUGGUUUCUUACACUAUGGUGCAUUAGGCGCAAACCAUGCACAUAACUUGCACCAAAACUAACACUGUUUCUAAAUAGACCAAAGCGAGAUUCCAUAUGACACACGUCAUCAAGGAGUUCCAUCGGGUGCAUCCAAAUUGAUUUCCAAGCAUAUGGUAGAAGAUAUAACUCCUUGAUGAUGUGUGUCAUAUGGAAUCUUGCUUCGGUUCGUUUAGAGACAGUGUUAGUUUUGGUAGAAGAUAUGUGCACGGUUUACACCUAAUGCACCAUAGGCUAAGAAACUAUUUUAGACGCACCCGAUGGUACUCGUAGUUGAAGAGGCUCAAGUGGAGGCUUGAUUUGGUCUGUUCGGAUAUAGUGCUAAUCUUGAUGCAAGGUAGUUGCACAGUUUGCAUGGAACGUACCAUAUGUUAUGAAAUUAAUUUGGACGCACCUAAUGGAACUCCUAGAUGACGUGUGUCAUAUGGAAUCUUGCUUCGGUCUGUUUGGAGACAUUGUUAGUUUCAGGGCAAGAUAGGUGCAUAGUUUGUGCCUAAUGCACCAUAGUCUAAGAAACCAUUUGUGAUGCACCUGUUUGUACUCCUAGAUGAAGAGGCUCAAGUGGAUGCUCGGUUCGGUCUGUUUGGAGAUACUGCUAAUCUUGAUGCAAGCUAGGUGCACGGUUUGCAUGGAACGUAACAUAUGCUUGGAAAUCAAUUUGGAGGCAUCCGACGGAACUCCUUGAUAACAUGUGUCAUAUGGAAUCUCAUUUUGGUGUGUCUAGAAACAGUGUUCGUUUCGGUGCAAAAUAUGUGCAUGGUUUGCGCCUAAUGCACCAUAGUCUAAGAAACCUUUUUGGAAGCACCUGUUGCAUCUUUGGUGAAGAGGUUCAAGUGGAAGCUCGAAUUUAUCUGUUUGGAGAUAGUGCUAAUCUUGAUACAAGAUAGGUGCAUGAUUUGCAAGGAAUAUACCAUAUGCUUGAUGACGUGUGUCAUAUGGAAUCUCGCUUUGGUGUGCUUAGAGACAUUAUUAGUUUCGGUGCAAGAUAAGUGCACGGUUUGCGCCUAAUGCUCCAAAGUCUAAGAAACCAUUUUGGAAGCACAUGUUCGUACUCCUAGGUGAAGAGGAUCAAGUGGAGGCUCGGUUCUGUCUGUUUAGAGAUAGUGUUAUUCUUGAUGCAAGAUAGGUGCACGAUUUGCAAGGAACAUACUAUAUGCUCAGAAAUCAAUUUGGACGCACCAGAUGGAACUCCUAGAUGACAUGUGUCAUAUGGAAUCUCACUUCGGUCCGUUUAGAGAUAGUGUUAGUUUCAGUGCAAGAUAGGUGCACAGUUUGCACCUAAUGCACCAUAGGAUAAAAAACCAUUUUGGACACACCCGAUGGUACUCCUAGGUCAAGGGGCUCAAGUGAAAGCUCGAUUUGGUCUGUUUGGAGAUAGUGCUAAUCGUGAUGCAAGAUAGAUGCACGGUUUGUAUGGAACAUACGGUAUGCUCAGAAAUCAAUUAGGACUCACCUGAUAUAACUCCUUGAUGAUGUGUGUCAUAUGGAAUCUUGCUUCGGUUCGUUUAGAGACAGUGUUAGUUUUGGUAGAAGAUAUGUGCACAGUUUACGCCUAAUGCACCAUAGGCUAAGAAACUAUUUUAGACGCACCCGAUGGUACUCGUAGUUGAAGAGGCUCAAGUGGAGGCUCGAUUUGGUCUACUCGGAUAUAGUGCUAAUCUUGAUGCAAGAUAGUAGAACAGUUUGCAUGGAACGUACCAUAUGUUAUGAAAUUAAUUUGGACGCACCCAAUGGAACUCCUAGAUGACGUGUGUCAUAUGGAAUCUUGCUUCGGUCUGUUUGGAGACAUUGUUAGUUUCAGGGCAAGAUAGGUGCAUAGUUUGUGCCUAAUGCACCAUAGUCUAAGAAACCAUUUUUGAUGCACCUGUUUGUACUCCUAGAUGAAGAGGCUCAAGUGGAUGCUCGGUUCGGUCUGUCUGGAGAUACUGCUAAUCUUGAUGCAAGAUAGGUGCACGGUUUGCAUGGAACAUAACAUAUGCUUGGAAAUCAAUUUGGAUGCACCCGACGGAACUCCUUGAUGACAUGUGUCAUAUGGAAUCUCACUUUGGUGUGUCUAGAAACAGUGUUCGUUUUGGUGCAAGAUAUGUGCAUGGUUUGCGCCUAAUGCACCAUAGUCUAAGAAACCAUUUUGGAAGCACCUGUUGGAUCUUUGGUGAAGAGGUUCAAGUGGAAGCUCGGUUUUAUCUAUUUGGAGAUUGUGCUAAUCUUGAUACAAGAUAGGUGCAUGAUUUGCAAGGAACAUACCAAAUGCUUGAUGACGUGUGUCAUAUGGAAUCUCGCUUUGGUGUGCUUAGAGACAUUAUUAGUUUCGGUGCAAGAUAUGUGCACGGUUUGCGCCUAAUGCACCAAAGUCUAAGAAACCAUUUUGGAAGCACCUGUUGGUACUCCUAGGUGAAGAGGCUCAAGUGGAGGCUCGGUUCUGUCUGUUUAGAGAUAGUGCUAAUCUUGAAGCAAGAUAGGUGCACGAUUUGCAAGGAACAUACCAUAUGCUCAGAAAUCAAUUAGGACGCACCAGAUGGAACUCCUAGAUGACAUGUGUCAUAUGGAAUCUCACUUCGGUCCGUUUAGAGAUAGUGUUAGUUUCGGUGCAAGAUAGGUGCACAGUUUGCACCUAAUGCACCAUAGGAUAAAAAACCAUUUUGGACACACCCGAUGGUACUCCUAGGUCAAGGGGCUCAAGUGAAAGCUCGGUUUGAUGCAAGAUAGAUGCACGGUUUGCAUGGAACAUACAGUAUGCUCAGAAAUCAAUUAGGACUCACCUGAUAUAACUCCUUGAUGAUGUGUGUCAUAUGGAAUCUUGCUUCAGUUUGUUUAGAGACAGUGUUAGUUUUGGUAGAAGAUAUGUGCACGGUUUACGCCUAAUGCACCAUAGGCUAAGAAACUAUUUUAGACCCACCCGAUGGUACUCGUAGUUGAAAAGGCCCAAGUGGAGGCUCGACUUGGUCUACUCGGAUAUAGUGCUAAUCUUGAUGCAAGAUAGUUGCACAGUUUGCAUGGAACGUACCAUAUGUUAUGAAAUUAGUUUGGACGCACCCAAUGGAACUCCUAGAUGACGUGUGUCAUAUGGAAUCUCGCUUCGGUCUGUUUGGAGACAAUGUUAGUUUCAGGGCAAGAUAGGUGCAUAGUUUGUGCCAAAUGCACCAUAGUCUAAGAAACCAUUUUGGACGCACCUGUUUGUACUCCGAGAUAAAAGAGGCUCAAGUGGAAGCUCGGUUCGGUCUGUCUGGAGAUAGUGCUAAUCUUGAUGCACGGUAGAACUCCUUGAUGACAUGUGCCAUAUGGAAUCUCGCUUUAGUCUGUUUAGAAACAGUGUUAGUUUUGGUGCAAGAUAUGUGCAUGGUUUGUGCCUAAUGCACCAUAGUCUAAAAACCAUUUUGAAAGCACCUGUUGGUACUUCGAUGAAGAGACUCAAGUGGAAGCUCGGUUUGAUCUGUUUGGAGAUAGUGCUAAUCCUGAUGCAAGAUAGGUGUAUGAUUUACAAGGAACAUACCAUACGCUUAGAAAUCAAUUUGGACGCACCCAAUGGAACUCCUAGAUGACGUGUGUCAUAUGGAAACUUGCUUCGGUCCGUUUAGAGAUAGUGUUAGUUUCGGUGCAAGAUAGGUGCACAGUUUGCACCUAAUGCACCAUAGGAUAAAAAACCAUUUUGGACACACCCGAUGGUACUCCUAGGNNNNNNNNNNNNNNNNNNNNNNNNNNNNNNNNNNNNNNNNNNNNNNNNNNNNNNNNNNNNNNNNNNNNNNNNNNNNNNNNNNNNNNNNNNNNNNNNNNNNNNNNNNNNNNNNNNNNNNNNNNNNNNNNNNNNNNNNNNNNNNNNNNNNNNNNNNNNNNNNNNNNNNNNNNNNNNNNNNNNNNNNNNNNNNNNNNNNNNNNNNNNNNNNNNNNNNNNNNNNNNNNNNNNNNNNNNNNNNNNNNNNNNNNNNNNNNNNNNNNNNNNNNNNNNNNNNNNNNNNNNNNNNNNNNNNNNNNNNNNNNNNNNNNNNNNNNNNNNNNNNNNNNNNNNNNNNNNNNNNNNNNNNNNNNNNNNNNNNNNNNNNNNNNNNNNNNNNNNNNNNNNNNNNNNNNNNNNNNNNNNNNNNNNNNNNNNNNNNNNNNNNNNNNNNNNNNNNNNNNNNNNNNNNNNNNNNNNNNNNNNNNNNNNNNNNNNNNNNNNNNNNNNNNNNNNNNNNNNNNNNNNNNNNNNNNNNNNNNNNNNNNNNNNNNNNNNNNNNNNNNNNNNNNNNNNNNNNNNNNNNNNNNNNNNNNNNNNNNNNNNNNNNNNNNNNNNNNNNNNNNNNNNNNNNNNNNNNNNNNNNNNNNNNNNNNNNNNNNNNNNNNNNNNNNNNNNNNNNNNNNNNNNNNNNNNNNNNNNNNNNNNNNNNNNNNNNNNNNNNNNNNNNNNNNNNNNNNNNNNNNNNNNNNNNNNNNNNNNNNNNNNNNNNNNNNNNNNNNNNNNNNNNNNNNNNNNNNNNNNNNNNNNNNNNNNNNNNNNNNNNNNNNNNNNNNNNNNNNNNNNNNNNNNNNNNNNNNNNNNNNNNNNNNNNNNNNNNNNNNNNNNNNNNNNNNNNNNNNNNNNNNNNNNNNNNNNNNNNNNNNNNNNNNNNNNNNNNNNNNNNNNNNNNNNNNNNNNNNNNNNNNNNNNNNNNNNNNNNNNNNNNNNNNNNNNNNNNNNNNNNNNNNNNNNNNNNNNNNNNNNNNNNNNNNNNNNNNNNNNNNNNNNNNNNNNNNNNNNNNNNNNNNNNNNNNNNNNNNNNNNNNNNNNNNNNNNNNNNNNNNNNNNNNNNNNNNNNNNNNNNNNNNNNNNNNNNNNNNNNNNNNNNNNNNNNNNNNNNNNNNNNNNNNNNNNNNNNNNNNNNNNNNNNNNNNNNNNNNNNNNNNNNNNNNNNNNNNNNNNNNNNNNNNNGGACAGGGGAUAGCAUCAAUCUAUAUGAACCGUCUAUCAAUCUUGCUUCGGUUCGUUUAGAGAUAGUGUUAGUUUUGGUAGAAGAUAUGUGCACGGUUUACGCCUAAUGUACCAUAGGCUAAGAAACUAUUUUAGACGCACUCGAUGGUACUCGUAGUUGAAGAGGCUCAAGUGGAGGCUCGAUUUGGUCUGCUCGGAUAUAGUGCUAAUCUUGAUGUAAGAUAGUUGCACAGUUUGCAUGGAACGUACCACAUGUUAUGAAAUUAAUUUGGACGCACCCAAUGGAACUCCUAGAUGAUGUGUGUCAUAUGGAAUCUCGCUUCGGUCUGUUUGGAGAUAGUGUUAGUUUUGGUGCAAGAUAAGUGCACGGUUUGCGCCUAAUGCACCAUAUAAUAAGAAACCAUUUUGGACGCACCCGAUGGUACUCCUAGAUGAAGAGGCUCAAGUGGAAGCUCGGUUCGGUCUGUUCGGAGAUAGUGCUAAUCUUGAUGCAAGAUAGGUGCACGGUUUGCAUGGAACAUACCAUUUGCUUGGAAAUCAAUUUGGAUGCACCCGACGGAACUCCUUGAUGACAUGUGUCAUAUGGAAUCUCACUUUGGUCUGUCUAGAAACAGUGUUCGUUUCGGUGCAAGAUAUGUGUAUGGUUUGCGCCUAAAGCACCAUAGUCUAAGAAACCAUUUUGGAAGCACCUGUUGGAUCUUUGGUGAAGAGGCUCAAGUGGAAGCUCGGUUUUAUCUGUUUGGAGAUAGUGCUAAUCUUGAUGCAAGAUAGGUGCAUGAUUUGCAAGGUAUACCAUAUGCUUGAUGACGUGUGUCAUAUGGAAUCUCGCUUUGGUGUGCUUAGAGACAGUAUUAGUUUCGGUGCAAGAUAUGUGCACGGUUUGCGCCUAAUGCACCAAAGUCUAAGAAACCAUUUUGGAAGCACCUGUUGGUACUCCUAUGUGAAGAGGCUCAAGUGGAGGCUCGGUUCGGUCUGUUUAGAGAUAGUGCUAAUCUUGAUGCAAGAUAGGUGCACGAUUUGCAUGGAACAUACCAUAUGCUCAGAAAUCUAUUUGGACGCACCAGAUGGAACUCCUACAUGACAUGUGUCAUAUGGAAUCUCACUUCGGUCCGUUUAGAGAUAGUGUUAGUUUCAGUGCAAGAUAGGUGCACAGUUUGCACCUAAUGCACCAUAGGAUAAAAAACCAUUUUGGACACACCCGAUGGUACUCCUAGGUCAAGGGGCUCAAGUGAAAGCUCGAUUUGGUCUGUUUGGAGAUAGUGCUAAUCGUGAUGCAAGAUAGAUGCACGGUUUGUAUGGAACAUACGGUAUGCUCAGAAAUCAAUUAGGACUCACCUGAUAUAACUCCUUGAUGAUGUGUGUCAUAUGGAAUCUUGCUUCGGUUCGUUUAGAGACAGUGUUAGUUUUGGUAGAAGAUAUGUGCACAGUUUACGCCUAAUGCACCAUAGGCUAAGAAACUAUUUUAGACGCACCCGAUGGUACUCGUAGUUGAAGAGGCUCAAGUGGAGGCUCGAUUUGGUCUGUUCGGAUAUAGUGCUAAUCUUGAUGCAAGAUAGUUGCACAGUUUGCAUGGAACAUACCAUAUGUUAAGAAAUUAAUUUGGACGCACCAAAUGGAACUCCUAGAUGACGUGUAUCAUAUGGAAUCUCGCUUCGGUCUGUUUGGAGACAAUGUUAGUUUUGGUGCAAGAUAGGUGCAUAGUUUGUGCCUAAUACACCAUAGUCUAAGAAACCAUUUUUGAUGCACCUGUUUGUACUUCUAGAUGAAGAGGCUCAAGUGGAAGCUCGGUUCGGUCUGUUUGGAGAUAGUGCUAAUCUUGAUGCAAGAUAGGUGCACGGUUUGCAUGGAACGUACCAUAUGCUAGGAAAUCAAUUUGGAUGCACCCGACGGAACUCCUUGAUGACAUGUGUCAUAUGGAAUCUCACUUUGGUCUGUCUAGAAACAGUGUUCGUUUCGGUGCAAGAUAUGUGCAUGGUUUGCGCCUAAUGCACCAUAGUCUAAGAAACCAUUUUGGAAGCACCUGUUGGAUCUUUGGUGAAGAGGCUCAUGAGGAAGCUCGGUUUUAUCUGUUUGGAGAUAGUGCAAAUCUUGAUGCAAGAUAGGUGCAUGAUUGGCAAGGAACAUACCAUAUGCUUGAUGACGUGUGUCAUAUGGAAUCUCGCUUUGGUGUGCUUAGAGACAGUAUUAGUUUCGGUGCAAGAUAUGUGCACGGUUUGCGCCUAAUGCACCAAAGUCUAAGAAACAAUUUUGGAAGCACCUGUUGGUACUCCUAGGUGAAGAGGCUCAAGUGGAGGCUCGGUUUGGUCUGUUUAGAGAUAGUGCUAAUCUUGAUGCAAUAUAGGUGCACGAUUUUGCAUAGAAUAUACCAUGUGCUCAGAAAUCAAUUUGGACGCACCAGAUGGAACUCCUAGAUGACAAGUGUCAUAUGGAAUCUCACUUCGGUCCGUUUAGAGAUAGUGUUAGUUUCGGUGCAAGAUAGUUGCACAGUUUGCACCUAAUUCACCAUAGGAUAAAAAACCAUUUUGGACACACCCGAUGGUACUCGUAGGUCAAGGGGCUCAAGUGAAAGCUCGAUUUGGUCUGUUUGGAGAUAGUGCUAAUCUUGGUGCAAGAUAGAUGCACGGUUUGCAUGGAACAUACGGUAUGCUCAGAAAUCAAUUAGGACUCACCUGAUAUAACUCCUUGAUGAUGUGUGUCAUAUGGACUCUUGCUUCGGUUCGUUUAGAGACAGUGUUAGUUUUGGUAGAAGAUAUGUGCACGGUUUACGCCUAAUGCACCAUAGGCUAAGAAACUAUUUUAGACGCACCCGAUGGUACUCGUAGUUGAAGAGGCUCAAGUGGAGGCUCGAUUUGGUCUGCUCGGAUAUAGUGCUAAUCAUGAUGCAAGAUAGUUGCACAGUUUGCAUGGAACGUACCAUAUGUUAUGAAAUUAAUUUGGACGCACCCAAUGGAACUCCUAGACGACGUGUGUCAUAUGGAAUCUCGCUUCGGUCUGUUUGGAGACAAUGUUAGUUUUGUUGCAAGAUAGGUGCAUAGUUUGUGCCUAAUGCACCAUAGUCUAAGAAACCAUUUUUGAUGCACCUGUUUGUACUCCUAGAUGAAGAGGCUCAAGUGGAUGCUCGGUUCGGUCUGUUUAGAGAUAAUGCUAAUCUUGAUGUAAGAUAGGUGCACGGUUUGCAUAGAACAUAACAUAUGCUUGGAAAUCAAUUUGGAUGCACCCGACGGAACUCCUUGAUGACAUGUGUCAUAUGGAAUCUCACUUUGGUAUGUCUAGAAACAGUGUUCGUUUCGGUGCAAGAUAUGUGGAUGGUUUGCGCCAAAUGCACCAUAGUCUAAAAAACCAUUUUGGAAGUUCCUGUUGGAUCUUUGGUGAAGAGGCUCAAGUGGAAGCUUGGUUUUAUCUGUUUGGAGAUAGUGCUAAUCUUGAUACAACAUAGGUGCAUGAUUUGCAAGGAACAUACCAUAUGCUUGAUGACGUGUGUCAUAUGGAAUCUCUCUUUGGUGUGCUUAGAGAUAGUAUUAGUUUCGGUGCAAGAUAUGUGCACGGUUUGUGCCUAAUGCACCAAAGUCUAAGAAACCAUUUUGCAAGCACCUGUUGGUACUCCUAGGUGAAGAGGCUCAAGUGGAGGCUCGGUUCGGUCUGUUUAGAGAUAGUGCUAUUCUUGAUGCAAGAUAGGUGCACGAUUUGUAUGGAACAUACCAUAUGCUCAGAAAUCAAUUUGGACGCACCAGAUGGAACUCCUAAAUGACAUGUGUCAUAUGGAAUCUCACUUCGGUCCGUUUAGAGAUUGUGUUAGUUUCGGUGCAAGAUAGGUGCACAGUUUGCACCUAAUGCACCAUAUGAUAAAAAACCAUUUCGGACACACCCGAUGGUACUUCUAGGUCAAGAGGCUCAAGUGAAAGCUCGGUUUGAUGCAAGAUAGAUGCACGGUUUGCAUGGAACAUACGGUAUGCUCAGAAAUCAAAUAGGUCUCACCUGAUAUAACUCCUUGAUGAUGUGUGUCAUAUGGAAUCUUGCUUCGGUUCAUUUAGAGACAUUGUUAGUUUUGGUAGAAGAUAUGUGCACGGUUUACGGCUAAGAAACUAUUUUAGACCCACCCGAUGGUACUCGUAGUUGAAAAGGCUCAAGUGGAGGCUCGAUUUGGUCUACUCAGAUAUAGUGCUAAUCUUGAUGCAAGAUAGUUGCACAGUUUGCAUGGAACGUACCAUAUGUUAUGAAAUUAAUUUGGACGCACCCAUUGGAACUCCUAGAUGAUGUGUGGCAUAUGGAAUCUCGUCGGUCUGUUUGGAGACAAUGUUAGUUUCGGAGAAAGAUAGGUGCAUAGUUUGUGCCUAAUGCACCAUAGUCUAAGAAACUAUUUUUGACGCACCUAUUUGUACUCCGAGAUAAAAAGGCUCAAGUGGAAGCUCGGUUCGGUCUGUCUGGAGAUAGUGCUAAUCUUGAUGCAAGAUAGGUGCACAGUUUGCAUGGAACAUACCAUAUGCUUGGAAAUCAAUAUGGAUGCACCCGAUAGAACUCCUUGAUGACAUGUGUCAUAUGGAAUCUCGCUUUGGUCUGUUUAGAAACCGUGUUAGUUUCGGUGCAAGAUAUGUGCAUGGUUUGUGCCUAAUGCACUAUAGUCUAAAAACCAUUUUGAAAGCACCUGUUGGUACUUCGAUGAAGAGACUCAAGUGGAAGCUCGAUUUGAUCUGUUUGGAGAUCGUGCUAAUCUUGAUGCAAGAUAGGUGCAUGAUUUACAAGGAACAUACCAUAUUCUUAGAAAUCAAUUUGGACGCACCCAAUGGAACUCCUAGAUGACGUGUGUCAUAUGGAAUCUUGCUUCGGUCCGUUUGUUGACAUUGUAAGUUUUAGUGCAAGAUAGGUGCACAGUUUGCACCUAAUUCACCAUAGUCUAAGAAACCAUUUUGGACGCACUAUUUGGUACUCCUUGGUGAAGAGGCUCAAGUGGAAGCUUGGUUCGGUCAGUUUGGAGAUAGUGCUAAUCCUUAUGCAAGGUAGCUGCAUGGUUUGCAUGGAACAUACCAUAUGCUUGGAAAUGAAUUUGGAUGCACCCGAUAGAAGUCCUUGAUGACGUGUGUCAUAUGGAAUCUCGCUUCUGUCAUUUGGAGACAUUGUUAGUUUCGGUGCAAGAUAGGUGCACAGUUUGCACCUAAUGCACCAUAGUCUAAGAAACCAUUUUGGACGCACUUGUUGGUACUCCUAGGUGAAGGGGCUCAAGUGGAUGCUCGGUUCGAUCUGUUUGGAGAUAGUGCUAAUCUUGAUGCAAGAUAGGCGCAUGAUUUGCAUGGAACAUACCAUAUGCUUAGAAAUCAAUUUGGACGCACCAGAUGGAACUCCUAGAUGACAUGUGUCAUAUGGAAUCUCACAUUGGUCCGUUUAGAGACAGUGUUAGUUUUAGUGCAAGAUAAGUGCACGAUUUGCAACUAAUGCACCAUAUAAUAAGAAACCAUUUUGGACGCACCCGAUGGUACUCAUAGAUGAAGAGGCUCAAGUGGAAGCUCGGUUCGGUCUGUUUGGAGAUAGUGCUAAUCUUGAUGCAAAAUAGGUGCACGAUUUGCACGGAACAUACCAUAUGCUUGGAAAUCAAUUUGGAUGCACACGACGGAACUCCAUGAUGACAUGUGUCAUAUGGAAUCUUGAUUUGGUUCGUUUAGAAAUAGUGUUCGUUUCGGUGCAAGAUAUGUGCAUAGUUUACGCCUAAUGCACCAUAGGCUAAGAAACCAUUUUAGACGCACCCGAUGGUACUCAUAGCCGAUUUGGUCUGUUCGGAUAUAGUGCUAAUCUUGAUGCAAGAUAGUUGCACAGUUUGCAUGGAACAUACCAUAUGUUAAUAAAUUAAUUUGGACGCACCCAAUGGAACUCCUAGAUGACGUGUAUCAUAUGGAAUCUCGCUUCGGUCUGUUUGGAGACAAUGUUAGUUUUGGUGCAAGAUAGGUGCAUAGUUUGUGCCUAAUACAGCAUAGUCUAAGAAACCAUUUUUGACGCACCUGUUUGUACUCUUAGAUGAAGAGGCUCAAGUGGAAGCUCGGUUCGGUUUGUUUGGAGAUAGUGCUAAUCUUGAUGCAAGAUAGGUGCACGGUUUGCAUGGAACAUACCAUGUGCUUGGAAAUCAAUUUGGAUGCACCCAACGGAACUCCUUGAUGACAUGUGUCAUAUGGAAUCUCACUUUGGUCUAUCUAGAAACAGUGUUCGUUUCGGUGCAAGAUAUGUGCAUGGUUUGCGCCUAAUGCACCAUAGUCUAAGAAACCAUUUUGGAAGCACCUGUUGGAUCUUUGGUAAAGAGGCUCAAGUGGAAGCUCGGUUUUAUCUGUUUGGAGAUAGUGCUAAUCUUGAUGCAAGAUAGGUGCAUGAUUUGCAAGCAACAUACCAUAUGCUUGAUGACGUGUGUCAUAUGGAAUCUCGCUUUUGUGUGCUUAGAGACAGUAUUAGUUUCGGUGCAAGAUAUGUGCACGGUUUGCGCCUAAUGCACCAAAGUCUAAGAAACCAUUUUGGAAGCACCUGUUGGUACUCCUAGGUGAAGAGGCUCAAGUGGAGGCUCGGUUCGGUCUGUUUAGAGAUAGUGCUAAUCUUAUUGCAAUAUAGGUGCACGAUUUGCAUGGAACAUACCAUAUGCUCAGAAAUCAAUUUGCACGCACCAGAUGGAACUCCUAGAUGACAUGUGUCAUAUGGAAUCUCACUUCGGUCCGUUUAGAGAUAGUGUUAGUUUCGGUGCAAGAUAGGUGCACAGUUUGCACCUAAUGCACCAUAGGAUAACAAACCAUUUUGGACACACCCGAUGGUACUCCUAGGUUAAGGGGCUCAAGUGAAAGCUCGGUUUGAUGCAAGAUAGAUGCACGGUUUGCAUGGAACAUACGGUAUGCUCAGAAAUCAAUUAGGACUCACCUGAUAUAACUCCUUGAUGAUGUGUGUCAUAUGGAAUCUUGCUUCGGUUCGUUUAGAGACAGUGUUAGUUUUGGUAGAAGAUAUGUGCACGGUUUACGCCUAAUGCACCAUAGGCUAAGAAACUAUUUUAGACGCACCCGAUGGUACUCGUAGUUGAAAAGGCUCAAGUGGAGCCACGAUUUGGUCUACUCGGAUAUAGUGCUAAUCUUGAUGCAAGAUAGUUGCAUAGUUUGCAUGGAACAUACCAUAUAUUAAGAAAUCAAUUUGGACGCACCAAAUGGAACUCCAAGAUGACGUGUGUCAUAUUGAAUCUCGCUUCGGUCUGUUUGGAGACAAUGUUAGUUUCGGUGCAAGAUAUGUGCAUAGAUUGAGCCUAAUGCACCAUAAUCUAAGAAACCCUUUUUGACGCACCUGUUUGUACUCCUAGAUGAAGAGGCUCAAGUGGAAGCUCGGUUUGAUGUGUUUGGAGAUAGUGCUAAUCUUGAUGCAAGAUAGGUGCAUGUUUUGUAAGGAACAUACCAUAUGCUUAGAAAUCAAUUUUACACACGCAGUGAAACUCCUAGAUGACAUGUGUCAUAUGGAAUCUUGCUUCAAUCCGUUUGUAGACAUUGUAAGUUUUAGUGCAAGAUAGGUGAACAGUUGCGCCUAAUGCAGCAUAGUCUAAGAAACCAUUUUGGACGCACUAUUUGGUACUCCUAGGUGAAGACGCUCAAGUGGAAGCUUGGUUUGGUCAGUUUAGAGAUAGUGCUAAUCCUUAUGCAAGGUAGGUGCAUGGUUUGCAUGGAACAUACCAUAUGCUUGUAAAUCAAUUUGGAUGCACCCGAUGGAACUCUUUGAUGACGUGUGUCAUAUGGAAUCUUGCUUCGGUCCAUUUGGAGACAUUGUUAGUUUCGGUGCAAGAUAGGUUCACAGUUUGCACCUAAUGCACCGUAGUCUAAGAAACCAUUUUGGACGCACUUGUUGGUACUCCAAGGUGAAGGGGCUCAAGUGGAUGCUCGGUUCGGUCUGUUUGGAGAUAGUGCUAAUCUUGAUGCAAGAUAGGUGCACGGUUUGCAUGGAACAUACCAUAUGCUCAGAAAUCAAUUUGGACGCACCAGAUGGAACUCCUAGAUGACAUGUGUCAUAUGGAAUCUUGCUUCGGUCUGUUUAGAGACAGUGUUAGUUUCGGUGCAAGAUAGGUGCACGGUUUGCACCUAAUGCACCAUAGGAUAAGAAACCAUUUUGGAUGCACCUGAUGGUACUCCUAGGUCAAGGGGCUCAAGUGAAAGCUCGGUUUGGUCUGUUUGGAGAUAGUGCUAAUCUUGAUGCAAGAUAGAUACACGGUUUGCAUGGAACAUACGAUAUGCUCAGAAAUCAAUUAGGACACACCUAAUAUAACUCAUUGAUGAUGUGUGUCAUAUGGAAUCUUGCUUCGGUUCGUUUAGAGACAGUGUUAGUUUUGGUAGAAGAUAUGUGCAUGGUUUACGCCUAAUGCACCAUAGGCUAAGAAACCAUUUUAGACGCACCCGAUGGUACUCGUAGUUGAAGAGGCUCAAUUGGAGGCUCAAUUUGGUCUGUUUGGAUAUAGUGCUAAACUUGAUGCAAGAUAGUUGCACAGUUUGCAUGGAACAUACUAUAUGUUAAGAAAUCAAUUUGGACGCACUCAAUGGAACUCCUAGAUGACGUGUGUCGUAUGGAAUCUCGCUUCAGUCUGUUUGGAGAUAAUGUUAGUUUUGGUGCAAGAUAGGUGCAUAGUUUGUGCCUAAUGCACCAUAGUCUAAGAAACCAUUUUUGACGCACCUGUUUGUACUCCUAGAUGAAGAGGUUCAAGUGGAAGCUCUUUUUGACCUGUUUGGGGAUAGUGCUAAUCUUGAUGCAAGAUAGGUGUAUGAUUUGCAAGGAAUAUACCAUAUGCUUAGAAAUCAAUCUGGAUGCAUCCAAUGGAACUCCUAGAUAACGUGUGUCAUAUGGAAUCUCGCUUCGGUCUGUAUGGAGACAAUGUUAGUUUCGGUGCAAGAUAGGUGCAUAGUUUGUGCCUAAUGCACCGUAGUCUAAGAAACCAUUUUUGACGCACCUGUUUGUACUCCUAGAUGAAGAGCCUCAAGUGGAAGCUCGGUUUGAAGUGUUUGGAGAAAGUGCUAAUCUUGAUGCAAGAUAGGUGCAUGUUUUGCAAGGAACAUACCAUAUGCUUAGAAAUCAAUUUUACGCACCCACUGGAACUCCUAGAUGACGUGUGUGAGAUGGAAUCUUGCUUCGAUCCGUUUGUAGAUAUUGUAAGUUUUAGUGCAAGAUAGGUGCACAGUUUGCGCCUAAUGCAGCAUAGUCUAAGAAACCAUUUUUGACGCACUAUUUCGUUCUCUUGGCUGAAGAGGAUCAAGUGGAAGCUUGGUUUGGUCAGUUUGGAGAUAGUGCUAAUCCUUAUGCAAGGUAGGUGCAUGGUUUGCAUGGAACAUACCAUAUACUCAGAAAUCAAUUUGGAUGCACCCGAUGGAACUCCUUGAUGACGUGUGUUAUAUGGAAUCUUGCUUCGGUCCGUUUAGAGACAUUGUUAGUUUCGGUGCAAGAUAGGUGCACGGUUUGCACCUAAUGCACCAUAGGAUAAGAAACCAUUUUGGACGCACCCGAUGGUACUCCUAGGUUAAGGGGCUCAAGUGAAAGCUUGGUUUGGUCUCUUUGGAGAUAGUGCUAAUCUUGAUGCAAGAUAGGUGCUCGGUUUGCAUGGAACAUUCCAAAUGCUUGGAAAUCAAUCUCGACACACAUGAUGGAACUCCUAGAUGACGUGUGUCAUACGAAAUCUUGCUUCGGUCUGUUUGGAGACAGUGUUAGUUUCGGUGCAAGAUAGGUGCAAAGUUUGCACAGAAUGUAGCAUAGGUUAAGAAACCAUUUUGGAUGCACCAAAUGGUACUCCUAGGUAAAAGGCUCAAGUGAAAGCUCGAUUUGGUCUAUUUGGAGAUAGUGCUAAUCUUGAUGCAAGAUAGAUGCACGGUUUGCAUAGAACAUACCAUAUGCUUAGAAAUUAAUUUGGACACACCCGAUAGAACUCCUUGAUGAUGUGUGUCAUAUGGAAUCUCGAUUUGGUGUGCUUAGAGACAGUAUUAGUUUCGGUGCAAGAUAUGUGCACAGUUUGCGCCUAAUGCACUGAAGUCUAAGAAACCAUUUUGGAAGCACCUGUUGGUGCUCCUAGUGAAGAGGCUGAAGUGGAGGCUCGGUUAACCCUGUUUAGAGAUAGUGCUAAUCUUGAUGCAAGAUAGGUGCACGAUUUGCAUGGAACAUACCAUAUGCACAGAAAUCAAUUUGGACGCACCAGAUGGAACUCUUAGAUGACAUGUGUCAUAUGGAAUCUCACUUCGGUCUGUUUAGAGACAUUUUUAGUUUCGGUGCAAGAUAGUUGCACGGUUUGCACCUAAUGCACCAUAGGAUAAGAAAACUUUUUGGACGCACCCGAUGGUACUCCUAGGUCAAGGGGCUCAAGUGAAAGCUCGUUUUGGUCUGUUUGGAGAUAGUGCUAAUCUUGAUGCAAGAUAGAUACACGGUUUGCAUGGAACAUACGGUAUGCUCAAAAAUCAAUUAGGACACACCUAAUAUAACUCCUUGAUGAUGUGUGUCAUAUGGAAUCUUGCUUCGGUUCAUUUAGAGACAUUGUUAGUUUUGGUAGAAGAUAUGUGCACGGUUUACGCCUAAUGCACCAUAAGCUAAGAAACCAUUUUAGACGCAUCCGAUGGUACUCGUAGUUGAAGAGGCUCAAGUGGAGGCUCGAUUUGGUCUGUUUGGAUAUAGUGCUAAUCUUGAUGCAAGAUAGUUGCACAGUUUGCAUGGAACGUACCAUAUGUUAAGAAAUCAAUUUGGACGCACCCAAUGGAACUCCUAGAUGACGUGUGUCAUAUGGAAUCUCGCUUCGGUCUGUUUGGAGACAAUGUUAGUUUUGGUGCAUAGUUUGUGCCUAAUGCACCAUAGUCUAAGAAACCAUUUUUGACGCACCUGUUUGUACUCCUAGAUGAAGAGGCUCAAGUGGAAGCUCUGUUUGAUCUGUUUGGAGAUAGUGCUAAUUUUGAUGCAAGAUAGGUGCAUGAUUUGCAAGGAACAUACCAUAUGCAUAGAAAUCAAUUUGGAUGCACCCAAUAGAACUCCUAGAUGAAGUGUAUCAUAUGGGAUCUUGAUUCGGUCCGUUUGUAGACAUUGUAAGUUUUAGUGCAAGAUAGGUGCACAGUUUGCGCCUAAUGAACCAUAGUCUAAGAAACCAUUUGGUCGCACUAUUUUGUACUCUUGGGUGAAGAGGCUCAAGUGGAAGCUUGGUUCGGUCAGUUUGGAGAUAGUGCUAUUCCUUAUGCAAGGUAGGUGCAUGGUUUGCAUGGAACAUACCAUAUGCUUGGAAAUCAAUUUGGAUGCACCCGAUGGAACUCCUUGAUGACAUGUGUCAUAUUGAAUCUCGCUUCGGUCCAUUUGGAGACAUUGUUAGUUUCAGUCAAAGAUGGGUGCACAGUUUGCACCUAAUGCACCAUAGUGUAAGAAACCAUUUUGGACGCACUUGUUGGUACUAGGUGAAGGGGCUCAAGUGGAUGCUCGGUUCGGUCUGUUUGGAGACAGUGUUAAUUUUUGAUGAGGACAUCAACACCAGCGAUACAUCCUCUCCUACAUCCUCUCCGACACAACCUAUAGCUGGUCCUACAUCUCCGACACAACCUAUAGCUGGUCCUACAUCCUCUCCGACACAACCUAUAGCUGGUGCUCUUACUCGUGCUCGUGCCCGUCAACUCAACCUUCAAGUAAGUUCAGUUUUAAACUCUCGUCAAUCAUAUUUAGACAAUGGAGACACGUGCACUUUCGUGUUGCUCAGGAAUAAUGGACAAGAUCAGCAAGGGAAGGUUCAACUGCAUUCAGAAUUUGAGGCAACACCAACUUCAAGGGCUGAUUGCAUAUGGGAAGAGUGAUAACUUAACAAAGGUGAUUGGAGAUCAGGUCCAAGCCUCCACAACAUCCUCUAUCAAGUUACCACGUCGCUUCUAAAGCAAGGAAACAAAGAGUCCAAACCCAACACGUUUUGGGAGUUGGAUUCGGACUGGAAAAUAACUCUAACUUGUAUGGAUCACCACGGCGUCAUAUGGACUCUAACUGGGACGUUCCUAUACUUGUUGGAAAGCUCAUGAAGUCUACUUUCCAAUGGGUCCAACCACAUAUCUAUGCAGCUUAUGAGUCGGGCGCAGUCCUUGUUUUCGUACCGACACCUUUUUCUGUUUUGGUGCUGCGUCACCCUAUUUUGGACCAAUGGCCCAUGUAUCAAGUUGAGUCCAUUAGGGACGCGUCCUAGGGUUGGAGGAUGACUCUAGCACCCCUUUGGUCGUCCUCCCCUCUAUUUAUUUACAUCUAGAGCCGCCAUGAACAACUGGGUUUUGAUUAGAUAAAGUUUAGCCUUCGCUACUUGCUUGUAAACGCGCGUGCUGAUCCAGCCGCCCGUCUUCUUGUUUUCGAAACCCCACUUCAUUAGAGAUUGAGUUUGAAACCUUCAUUUACAUCUAGUAAUUUAGUACUUGUUCUACUUGUUCUUGCUGGUUCUUCGAUUGCUUGCAGGACGAGUGCCCUAGUGGCCGGGUGUUGCGCUCCACAAGAUCGUGACAGCCAUUGGAGGCGGUGUAUCGGUUGCUAAGGCGCGGUCUUGAGGGCUGUAGUCUGGCCGUGAACGUCAUCUCCAUUCACUAAUCGAGUUAUCCAGCGCCUCUCAUCAAAAGAUCAGGCGAAAACCAUAGUGGGUUCACAUCAGUUGGUAUCAGAGCAAGGUUUAUCGGUGAGAGAUUUCCAAUUCUUCGUGUUUGUUUUUCCUAUAGUCCAAAAAAAGACAAAAAAUAUAGCAGAUUUGUUUUCCAUAAUCCUAUAAAUCCUUUGUGCCGUGGCUAGUACCGUUUUAGUUAGGGCUUGUUGAAUUUGUGUUGGCUCGGUUUGUGUCGAGUUGCUGGUCUUAGUGUCUAGUCCUUUAGAGUUUCGAGUUCUUGUCACCAUCUAUACACAGCCGAGUAUUACCAUAUCUUCUCUCUGUCGAAUCUGUUGCAAAGUCCAAAUUGAACUGUGGUCUUGGUCCGGAUCGAGUAGAGUUCCAAUCUGAGUUCAAAAAGAAAGAUAACUCCAUACUUGUUCGGUCUUACUCUAGAGAGAGAGAGAGAGAGUGUGUAGCGAAUUAGUGUGUGUAGCGAAUUGCUCUUUUGUAUUCUUUUGUUCAUAUAAUCAGUUUUUGAUGUUGCCCAAAAAAAAAGAAAAAAAAGAAAAAAAAGAAAAGAGAAAAGAUUCAAAAGAAAAAAAAGGGGUUGUUUUUAAUAUUGAUUUUAGGUUUGUUCCACCUUGUUUUCGGGG